CUUUCUGUUAGUUAAAUUGGUUGUCUUUGAUAUAGGGAACUUCCAGUUGAACUGAUUUGUAAUUCGAGUAUAUGAGAUUACCAACUGUAAUGGGAAUUGAUGCCAAAUUAAUUAUGUCAUCAGGUUUUCCAAUCAGUGUUCAUCAUUUAUUUCUGUUAACAAUUAAUAGCACAGCUUGUCUUCGCAGCUUCAUUGGUUCCUCUCAAAAAAGUAAUGCCAGAUGCAUCUAUAGUUUCAAUCGUUGUGGACUUGUAAAGAAUGAAAUUAGUCUGAACUCACUUCCGUCAUUUCCUGUUCAAGAGCAGCAGGGGGAAGUUGAUGAGUCAAAUGUCAAGUUGUUGGAGCAUGUGCUUUCAGCCUAAAACCCUGAUCUGCAGCAUCUCAAUCAUGUUACAAAAGGACAUGUCGCCUGGUGACACCAUGUUCUCUACAGCGCUGUUAAUGGAUCCUGAUUGUUCUUGUGAUCUGGAGAGUCUCAUUCAUAAUACAGAUCUUGAUCAGGACGAGCUAGCAUAUGUGAUCACCAACUCUACAUGGUUGUUGAUGCCAAAUUAAAUAUGGUAUCAUGUUUUUCAACUUGUUAUUUUCUAUAGUCCUUCCUUUGAAUGGCCACAAGAAACUGUAAAAUCACCCUUUGUCUUGUUCCCUCUUAAUGAUCGAUCACUUUGGGAGCUAAUGAAUUAGUUGCACCUUGUCACUUUAUUGGUGCUUGAUUGUCGUUUGUACUUUGAAUUCACAGCAUAUUUUACACUUGAUGUACUCUUUCCAUAAUCACCUUUGAGGGCUGCUAGUAUGUAUAAUUGAAAAACCUUAUAUAAAUUCUAAGCAUUUUUAUUUAACUUGUUGUAAACCUCCAGUGUAUGUCUCUUCUGUGAAAUGAUUCAUACUCUAUGCUGCUAGGACCUAGGCUUAUGACUCUUCUGUGAAAUGAUUUACCCUCACCUGCACACAGACAUUUAUCCCAAUCAAGAAAUCUUCAAACAAUGUGAAAAAAAUUGCUUGAAACACGACGCAGACUUAACCGAUUAAAAUGUCCCUACUGUGAGGAAGGAUGCUAUACAACUGACUCGGAAAAUGUAAAAUGGAUAACGUACGCCCAAGAUGAUCAACUAGAAACACAAUUCAAAACUCGGGCUGCUUUUGGCUGCCCGGCCUUCAGAAGUCAAUAUUUAUAUGAACUUUUGAGGAGAAAUUAUAUGAACUUUUGAGGAGAAAUUAUACUAAGGGUUCAGAAGUCAAUAUUUAUAUGAACUUCAGAAGUCAAUAUUUGGCUGCCCGGCCUUCAGAAGUCAAUAUUUAAAAACUUGGUGAAAUUACCGAUUAAAAUGUCCCUACUGUGAGGAAGGAUGCUAUACAACUGACUCGGAAAAUGUAAAAUGGAUAACGUACGCCCAAGAUGAUCAACUAGAAACACAAUUCAAAACUCGGGCUGCUUUUGGCUGCCCGGCCUUCAGAAGUCAAUAUUUAAAAACUUGGUGAAAUUACCGAUUAAAAUGUCCCUACUGUGAGGAAGGAUGCUAUACAACUGACUCGGAAAAUGUAAAAUGGAUAACGUACGCCCAAGAUGAUCAACUAGAAACACAAUUCAAAACUCGGGCUGCUUUUGGCUGCCCGGCCUUCAGAAGUCAAUAUUUAAAAACUUGGUGAAAUUACCGAUUAAAAUGUCCCUACUGUGAGGAAGGAUGCUAUACAACUGACUCGGAAAAUGUAAAAUGGAUAACGUACGCCCAAGAUGAUCAACUAGAAACACAAUUCAAAACUCGGGCUGCUUUUGGCUGCCCGGCCUUCAGAAGUCAAUAUUUAUAUGAACUUUUGAGGAGAAAUUAUAUGAACUUUUGAGGAGAAAUUAUACUAAGGGUUCAGAAGUCAAUAUUUAUAUGAACUUCAGAAGUCAAUAUUUGGCUGCCCGGCCUUCAGAAGUCAAUAUUUAAAAACUUGGUGAAAUUACCGAUUAAAAUGUCCCUACUGUGAGGAAGGAUGCUAUACAACUGACUCGGAAAAUGUAAAAUGGAUAACGUACGCCCAAGAUGAUCAACUAGAAACACAAUUCAAAACUCGGGCUGCUUUUGGCUGCCCGGCCUUCAGAAGUCAAUAUUUAAAAACUUGGUGAAAUUACCGAUUAAAAUGUCCCUACUGUGAGGAAGGAUGCUAUACAACUGACUCGGAAAAUGUAAAAUGGAUAACGUACGCCCAAGAUGAUCAACUAGAAACACAAUUCAAAACUCGGGCUGCUUUUGGCUGCCCGGCCUUCAGAAGUCAAUAUUUAAAAACUUGGUGAAAUUACCGAUUAAAAUGUCCCUACUGUGAGGAAGGAUGCUAUACAACUGACUCGGAAAAUGUAAAAUGGAUAACGUACGCCCAAGAUGAUCAACUAGAAACACAAUUCAAAACUCGGGCUGCUUUUGGCUGCCCGGCCUUCAGAAGUCAAUAUUUAUAUGAACUUUUGAGGAGAAAUUAUAUGAACUUUUGAGGAGAAAUUAUACUAAGGGUUCAGAAGUCAAUAUUUAUAUGAACUUCAGAAGUCAAUAUUUGGCUGCCCGGCCUUCAGAAGUCAAUAUUUAAAAACUUGGUGAAAUUACCGAUUAAAAUGUCCCUACUGUGAGGAAGGAUGCUAUACAACUGACUCGGAAAAUGUAAAAUGGAUAACGUACGCCCAAGAUGAUCAACUAGAAACACAAUUCAAAACUCGGGCUGCUUUUGGCUGCCCGGCCUUCAGAAGUCAAUAUUUAAAAACUUGGUGAAAUUACCGAUUAAAAUGUCCCUACUGUGAGGAAGGAUGCUAUACAACUGACUCGGAAAAUGUAAAAUGGAUAACGUACGCCCAAGAUGAUCAACUAGAAACACAAUUCAAAACUCGGGCUGCUUUUGGCUGCCCGGCCUUCAGAAGUCAAUAUUUAAAAACUUGGUGAAAUUACCGAUUAAAAUGUCCCUACUGUGAGGAAGGAUGCUAUACAACUGACUCGGAAAAUGUAAAAUGGAUAACGUACGCCCAAGAUGAUCAACUAGAAACACAAUUCAAAACUCGGGCUGCUUUUGGCUGCCCGGCCUUCAGAAGUCAAUAUUUAUAUGAACUUUUGAGGAGAAAUUAUAUGAACUUUUGAGGAGAAAUUAUACUAAGGGUUCAGAAGUCAAUAUUUAUAUGAACUUCAGAAGUCAAUAUUUGGCUGCCCGGCCUUCAGAAGUCAAUAUUUAAAAACUUGGUGAAAUUACCGAUUAAAAUGUCCCUACUGUGAGGAAGGAUGCUAUACAACUGACUCGGAAAAUGUAAAAUGGAUAACGUACGCCCAAGAUGAUCAACUAGAAACACAAUUCAAAACUCGGGCUGCUUUUGGCUGCCCGGCCUUCAGAAGUCAAUAUUUAAAAACUUGGUGAAAUUACCGAUUAAAAUGUCCCUACUGUGAGGAAGGAUGCUAUACAACUGACUCGGAAAAUGUAAAAUGGAUAACGUACGCCCAAGAUGAUCAACUAGAAACACAAUUCAAAACUCGGGCUGCUUUUGGCUGCCCGGCCUUCAGAAGUCAAUAUUUAAAAACUUGGUGAAAUUACCGAUUAAAAUGUCCCUACUGUGAGGAAGGAUGCUAUACAACUGACUCGGAAAAUGUAAAAUGGAUAACGUACGCCCAAGAUGAUCAACUAGAAACACAAUUCAAAACUCGGGCUGCUUUUGGCUGCCCGGCCUUCAGAAGUCAAUAUUUAUAUGAACUUUUGAGGAGAAAUUAUAUGAACUUUUGAGGAGAAAUUAUACUAAGGGUUCAGAAGUCAAUAUUUAUAUGAACUUCAGAAGUCAAUAUUUGGCUGCCCGGCCUUCAGAAGUCAAUAUUUAAAAACUUGGUGAAAUUACCGAUUAAAAUGUCCCUACUGUGAGGAAGGAUGCUAUACAACUGACUCGGAAAAUGUAAAAUGGAUAACGUACGCCCAAGAUGAUCAACUAGAAACACAAUUCAAAACUCGGGCUGCUUUUGGCUGCCCGGCCUUCAGAAGUCAAUAUUUAAAAACUUGGUGAAAUUACCGAUUAAAAUGUCCCUACUGUGAGGAAGGAUGCUAUACAACUGACUCGGAAAAUGUAAAAUGGAUAACGUACGCCCAAGAUGAUCAACUAGAAACACAAUUCAAAACUCGGGCUGCUUUUGGCUGCCCGGCCUUCAGAAGUCAAUAUUUAAAAACUUGGUGAAAUUACCGAUUAAAAUGUCCCUACUGUGAGGAAGGAUGCUAUACAACUGACUCGGAAAAUGUAAAAUGGAUAACGUACGCCCAAGAUGAUCAACUAGAAACACAAUUCAAAACUCGGGCUGCUUUUGGCUGCCCGGCCUUCAGAAGUCAAUAUUUAUAUGAACUUUUGAGGAGAAAUUAUAUGAACUUUUGAGGAGAAAUUAUACUAAGGGUUCAGAAGUCAAUAUUUAUAUGAACUUCAGAAGUCAAUAUUUGGCUGCCCGGCCUUCAGAAGUCAAUAUUUAAAAACUUGGUGAAAUUACCGAUUAAAAUGUCCCUACUGUGAGGAAGGAUGCUAUACAACUGACUCGGAAAAUGUAAAAUGGAUAACGUACGCCCAAGAUGAUCAACUAGAAACACAAUUCAAAACUCGGGCUGCUUUUGGCUGCCCGGCCUUCAGAAGUCAAUAUUUAAAAACUUGGUGAAAUUACCGAUUAAAAUGUCCCUACUGUGAGGAAGGAUGCUAUACAACUGACUCGGAAAAUGUAAAAUGGAUAACGUACGCCCAAGAUGAUCAACUAGAAACACAAUUCAAAACUCGGGCUGCUUUUGGCUGCCCGGCCUUCAGAAGUCAAUAUUUAAAAACUUGGUGAAAUUACCGAUUAAAAUGUCCCUACUGUGAGGAAGGAUGCUAUACAACUGACUCGGAAAAUGUAAAAUGGAUAACGUACGCCCAAGAUGAUCAACUAGAAACACAAUUCAAAACUCGGGCUGCUUUUGGCUGCCCGGCCUUCAGAAGUCAAUAUUUAUAUGAACUUUUGAGGAGAAAUUAUAUGAACUUUUGAGGAGAAAUUAUACUAAGGGUUCAGAAGUCAAUAUUUAUAUGAACUUCAGAAGUCAAUAUUUGGCUGCCCGGCCUUCAGAAGUCAAUAUUUAAAAACUUGGUGAAAUUACCGAUUAAAAUGUCCCUACUGUGAGGAAGGAUGCUAUACAACUGACUCGGAAAAUGUAAAAUGGAUAACGUACGCCCAAGAUGAUCAACUAGAAACACAAUUCAAAACUCGGGCUGCUUUUGGCUGCCCGGCCUUCAGAAGUCAAUAUUUAAAAACUUGGUGAAAUUACCGAUUAAAAUGUCCCUACUGUGAGGAAGGAUGCUAUACAACUGACUCGGAAAAUGUAAAAUGGAUAACGUACGCCCAAGAUGAUCAACUAGAAACACAAUUCAAAACUCGGGCUGCUUUUGGCUGCCCGGCCUUCAGAAGUCAAUAUUUAAAAACUUGGUGAAAUUACCGAUUAAAAUGUCCCUACUGUGAGGAAGGAUGCUAUACAACUGACUCGGAAAAUGUAAAAUGGAUAACGUACGCCCAAGAUGAUCAACUAGAAACACAAUUCAAAACUCGGGCUGCUUUUGGCUGCCCGGCCUUCAGAAGUCAAUAUUUAUAUGAACUUUUGAGGAGAAAUUAUAUGAACUUUUGAGGAGAAAUUAUACUAAGGGUUCAGAAGUCAAUAUUUAUAUGAACUUCAGAAGUCAAUAUUUGGCUGCCCGGCCUUCAGAAGUCAAUAUUUAAAAACUUGGUGAAAUUACCGAUUAAAAUGUCCCUACUGUGAGGAAGGAUGCUAUACAACUGACUCGGAAAAUGUAAAAUGGAUAACGUACGCCCAAGAUGAUCAACUAGAAACACAAUUCAAAACUCGGGCUGCUUUUGGCUGCCCGGCCUUCAGAAGUCAAUAUUUAAAAACUUGGUGAAAUUACCGAUUAAAAUGUCCCUACUGUGAGGAAGGAUGCUAUACAACUGACUCGGAAAAUGUAAAAUGGAUAACGUACGCCCAAGAUGAUCAACUAGAAACACAAUUCAAAACUCGGGCUGCUUUUGGCUGCCCGGCCUUCAGAAGUCAAUAUUUAAAAACUUGGUGAAAUUACCGAUUAAAAUGUCCCUACUGUGAGGAAGGAUGCUAUACAACUGACUCGGAAAAUGUAAAAUGGAUAACGUACGCCCAAGAUGAUCAACUAGAAACACAAUUCAAAACUCGGGCUGCUUUUGGCUGCCCGGCCUUCAGAAGUCAAUAUUUAUAUGAACUUUUGAGGAGAAAUUAUAUGAACUUUUGAGGAGAAAUUAUACUAAGGGUUCAGAAGUCAAUAUUUAUAUGAACUUCAGAAGUCAAUAUUUGGCUGCCCGGCCUUCAGAAGUCAAUAUUUAAAAACUUGGUGAAAUUACCGAUUAAAAUGUCCCUACUGUGAGGAAGGAUGCUAUACAACUGACUCGGAAAAUGUAAAAUGGAUAACGUACGCCCAAGAUGAUCAACUAGAAACACAAUUCAAAACUCGGGCUGCUUUUGGCUGCCCGGCCUUCAGAAGUCAAUAUUUAAAAACUUGGUGAAAUUACCGAUUAAAAUGUCCCUACUGUGAGGAAGGAUGCUAUACAACUGACUCGGAAAAUGUAAAAUGGAUAACGUACGCCCAAGAUGAUCAACUAGAAACACAAUUCAAAACUCGGGCUGCUUUUGGCUGCCCGGCCUUCAGAAGUCAAUAUUUAAAAACUUGGUGAAAUUACCGAUUAAAAUGUCCCUACUGUGAGGAAGGAUGCUAUACAACUGACUCGGAAAAUGUAAAAUGGAUAACGUACGCCCAAGAUGAUCAACUAGAAACACAAUUCAAAACUCGGGCUGCUUUUGGCUGCCCGGCCUUCAGAAGUCAAUAUUUAUAUGAACUUUUGAGGAGAAAUUAUAUGAACUUUUGAGGAGAAAUUAUACUAAGGGUUCAGAAGUCAAUAUUUAUAUGAACUUCAGAAGUCAAUAUUUGGCUGCCCGGCCUUCAGAAGUCAAUAUUUAAAAACUUGGUGAAAUUACCGAUUAAAAUGUCCCUACUGUGAGGAAGGAUGCUAUACAACUGACUCGGAAAAUGUAAAAUGGAUAACGUACGCCCAAGAUGAUCAACUAGAAACACAAUUCAAAACUCGGGCUGCUUUUGGCUGCCCGGCCUUCAGAAGUCAAUAUUUAAAAACUUGGUGAAAUUACCGAUUAAAAUGUCCCUACUGUGAGGAAGGAUGCUAUACAACUGACUCGGAAAAUGUAAAAUGGAUAACGUACGCCCAAGAUGAUCAACUAGAAACACAAUUCAAAACUCGGGCUGCUUUUGGCUGCCCGGCCUUCAGAAGUCAAUAUUUAAAAACUUGGUGAAAUUACCGAUUAAAAUGUCCCUACUGUGAGGAAGGAUGCUAUACAACUGACUCGGAAAAUGUAAAAUGGAUAACGUACGCCCAAGAUGAUCAACUAGAAACACAAUUCAAAACUCGGGCUGCUUUUGGCUGCCCGGCCUUCAGAAGUCAAUAUUUAUAUGAACUUUUGAGGAGAAAUUAUAUGAACUUUUGAGGAGAAAUUAUACUAAGGGUUCAGAAGUCAAUAUUUAUAUGAACUUCAGAAGUCAAUAUUUGGCUGCCCGGCCUUCAGAAGUCAAUAUUUAAAAACUUGGUGAAAUUACCGAUUAAAAUGUCCCUACUGUGAGGAAGGAUGCUAUACAACUGACUCGGAAAAUGUAAAAUGGAUAACGUACGCCCAAGAUGAUCAACUAGAAACACAAUUCAAAACUCGGGCUGCUUUUGGCUGCCCGGCCUUCAGAAGUCAAUAUUUAAAAACUUGGUGAAAUUACCGAUUAAAAUGUCCCUACUGUGAGGAAGGAUGCUAUACAACUGACUCGGAAAAUGUAAAAUGGAUAACGUACGCCCAAGAUGAUCAACUAGAAACACAAUUCAAAACUCGGGCUGCUUUUGGCUGCCCGGCCUUCAGAAGUCAAUAUUUAAAAACUUGGUGAAAUUACCGAUUAAAAUGUCCCUACUGUGAGGAAGGAUGCUAUACAACUGACUCGGAAAAUGUAAAAUGGAUAACGUACGCCCAAGAUGAUCAACUAGAAACACAAUUCAAAACUCGGGCUGCUUUUGGCUGCCCGGCCUUCAGAAGUCAAUAUUUAUAUGAACUUUUGAGGAGAAAUUAUAUGAACUUUUGAGGAGAAAUUAUACUAAGGGUUCAGAAGUCAAUAUUUAUAUGAACUUCAGAAGUCAAUAUUUGGCUGCCCGGCCUUCAGAAGUCAAUAUUUAAAAACUUGGUGAAAUUACCGAUUAAAAUGUCCCUACUGUGAGGAAGGAUGCUAUACAACUGACUCGGAAAAUGUAAAAUGGAUAACGUACGCCCAAGAUGAUCAACUAGAAACACAAUUCAAAACUCGGGCUGCUUUUGGCUGCCCGGCCUUCAGAAGUCAAUAUUUAAAAACUUGGUGAAAUUACCGAUUAAAAUGUCCCUACUGUGAGGAAGGAUGCUAUACAACUGACUCGGAAAAUGUAAAAUGGAUAACGUACGCCCAAGAUGAUCAACUAGAAACACAAUUCAAAACUCGGGCUGCUUUUGGCUGCCCGGCCUUCAGAAGUCAAUAUUUAAAAACUUGGUGAAAUUACCGAUUAAAAUGUCCCUACUGUGAGGAAGGAUGCUAUACAACUGACUCGGAAAAUGUAAAAUGGAUAACGUACGCCCAAGAUGAUCAACUAGAAACACAAUUCAAAACUCGGGCUGCUUUUGGCUGCCCGGCCUUCAGAAGUCAAUAUUUAUAUGAACUUUUGAGGAGAAAUUAUAUGAACUUUUGAGGAGAAAUUAUACUAAGGGUUCAGAAGUCAAUAUUUAUAUGAACUUCAGAAGUCAAUAUUUGGCUGCCCGGCCUUCAGAAGUCAAUAUUUAAAAACUUGGUGAAAUUACCGAUUAAAAUGUCCCUACUGUGAGGAAGGAUGCUAUACAACUGACUCGGAAAAUGUAAAAUGGAUAACGUACGCCCAAGAUGAUCAACUAGAAACACAAUUCAAAACUCGGGCUGCUUUUGGCUGCCCGGCCUUCAGAAGUCAAUAUUUAAAAACUUGGUGAAAUUACCGAUUAAAAUGUCCCUACUGUGAGGAAGGAUGCUAUACAACUGACUCGGAAAAUGUAAAAUGGAUAACGUACGCCCAAGAUGAUCAACUAGAAACACAAUUCAAAACUCGGGCUGCUUUUGGCUGCCCGGCCUUCAGAAGUCAAUAUUUAAAAACUUGGUGAAAUUACCGAUUAAAAUGUCCCUACUGUGAGGAAGGAUGCUAUACAACUGACUCGGAAAAUGUAAAAUGGAUAACGUACGCCCAAGAUGAUCAACUAGAAACACAAUUCAAAACUCGGGCUGCUUUUGGCUGCCCGGCCUUCAGAAGUCAAUAUUUAUAUGAACUUUUGAGGAGAAAUUAUAUGAACUUUUGAGGAGAAAUUAUACUAAGGGUUCAGAAGUCAAUAUUUAUAUGAACUUCAGAAGUCAAUAUUUGGCUGCCCGGCCUUCAGAAGUCAAUAUUUAAAAACUUGGUGAAAUUACCGAUUAAAAUGUCCCUACUGUGAGGAAGGAUGCUAUACAACUGACUCGGAAAAUGUAAAAUGGAUAACGUACGCCCAAGAUGAUCAACUAGAAACACAAUUCAAAACUCGGGCUGCUUUUGGCUGCCCGGCCUUCAGAAGUCAAUAUUUAAAAACUUGGUGAAAUUACCGAUUAAAAUGUCCCUACUGUGAGGAAGGAUGCUAUACAACUGACUCGGAAAAUGUAAAAUGGAUAACGUACGCCCAAGAUGAUCAACUAGAAACACAAUUCAAAACUCGGGCUGCUUUUGGCUGCCCGGCCUUCAGAAGUCAAUAUUUAAAAACUUGGUGAAAUUACCGAUUAAAAUGUCCCUACUGUGAGGAAGGAUGCUAUACAACUGACUCGGAAAAUGUAAAAUGGAUAACGUACGCCCAAGAUGAUCAACUAGAAACACAAUUCAAAACUCGGGCUGCUUUUGGCUGCCCGGCCUUCAGAAGUCAAUAUUUAUAUGAACUUUUGAGGAGAAAUUAUAUGAACUUUUGAGGAGAAAUUAUACUAAGGGUUCAGAAGUCAAUAUUUAUAUGAACUUCAGAAGUCAAUAUUUGGCUGCCCGGCCUUCAGAAGUCAAUAUUUAAAAACUUGGUGAAAUUACCGAUUAAAAUGUCCCUACUGUGAGGAAGGAUGCUAUACAACUGACUCGGAAAAUGUAAAAUGGAUAACGUACGCCCAAGAUGAUCAACUAGAAACACAAUUCAAAACUCGGGCUGCUUUUGGCUGCCCGGCCUUCAGAAGUCAAUAUUUAAAAACUUGGUGAAAUUACCGAUUAAAAUGUCCCUACUGUGAGGAAGGAUGCUAUACAACUGACUCGGAAAAUGUAAAAUGGAUAACGUACGCCCAAGAUGAUCAACUAGAAACACAAUUCAAAACUCGGGCUGCUUUUGGCUGCCCGGCCUUCAGAAGUCAAUAUUUAAAAACUUGGUGAAAUUACCGAUUAAAAUGUCCCUACUGUGAGGAAGGAUGCUAUACAACUGACUCGGAAAAUGUAAAAUGGAUAACGUACGCCCAAGAUGAUCAACUAGAAACACAAUUCAAAACUCGGGCUGCUUUUGGCUGCCCGGCCUUCAGAAGUCAAUAUUUAUAUGAACUUUUGAGGAGAAAUUAUAUGAACUUUUGAGGAGAAAUUAUACUAAGGGUUCAGAAGUCAAUAUUUAUAUGAACUUCAGAAGUCAAUAUUUGGCUGCCCGGCCUUCAGAAGUCAAUAUUUAAAAACUUGGUGAAAUUACCGAUUAAAAUGUCCCUACUGUGAGGAAGGAUGCUAUACAACUGACUCGGAAAAUGUAAAAUGGAUAACGUACGCCCAAGAUGAUCAACUAGAAACACAAUUCAAAACUCGGGCUGCUUUUGGCUGCCCGGCCUUCAGAAGUCAAUAUUUAUAUGAACUUUUGAGGAGAAAUUAUAUGAACUUUUGAGGAGAAAUUAUACUAAGGGUUCAGAAGUCAAUAUUUAUAUGAACUUCAGAAGUCAAUAUUUGGCUGCCCGGCCUUCAGAAGUCAAUAUUUAAAAACUUGGUGAAAUUACCGAUUAAAAUGUCCCUACUGUGAGGAAGGAUGCUAUACAACUGACUCGGAAAAUGUAAAAUGGAUAACGUACGCCCAAGAUGAUCAACCAGAAAGUGAGAGAUUAGGAUCACCAGUCAGUCAGAUUUGGAUAGAAAGUGAGAGAUUGCUAUGCCGUGCCAUUGCUUCAAUCCUAAAUGCUUUCAUCUCCCUGAAAAGUAUACAAAUGUAGGGGUUAAAACAGAAUAGAUGAAACCGUAUUGAGGAACUCAACUGAGACAGAUGAUAAAUGAAAACUAACCAACCUUCACGCAAAACUCGUACAUCUCCCUUUAAGAGCUGACUUUCUGAGAAGAGAUCACCACAAUCGUUCACAUCAAAAGUCUCCACUUGAAAAUUUUAUAACCAUAGUACUCAUUCCAUUCAAACCAGAUCCUUGAGAUCAGUUCCUUCUUCAGGCAAGUGGCAUGAUCUUCCUCUUUAGGAGACUCAGCAGCAACCAGUCUAUAUGCACAAACUUUCUUUGUUUGGCCUGGCCGGAAAGCCCUGCUGAUUGCCUGGCGGCUCACUGAUGGAUUAAAGAGAACAUCCAGAAUAAUGAUUCAAAUUUUUGUGGAAUUACUUGUAAAGAAUGAAAUUGGUUUAAACUCGAUUCCACAAUUCAAGAGACAAAACUAAGCAGACGGGUUGAAUCUUUGAUUUAGUAGCAUGUCUCUUCUGCUUUAAAAGCAGAUCUGGAGAAUCCCAUUCUUAUUACAACGUGUGAAGGAGUGUUGUGUAUUGUUGGCAUGUUCCCAGGUUCUGUUCAUGGAUUCUGUUUGCAGACAUGGCCGACUCUUUGUUUCAUCGGAUAAGUUUCAAAUAAUUCUGGCAAAUUUUUGUUGUAAAAUUACUUUUUUAUCAUUUAAUCCAUAUGCCUCUUUCUCAUUACCUGCAAGUGCAAAAUUUUUAGGCUCGUCCUAUUAGACCUCUUUUUCUUCUCUAAAUAGAUAAAAUGGCAUUUCAUUUUUCUCUUGCGAGGGUGCAGGUUUAUGCUGAAACUUUCGGUUAGUUAAAUUGAUUGUCUUUGAUAUUGGAACUUGUAGUUGAACUAGUUUGCAUUUAGAAUAUAUGAGAUUACCAACUGUAACGGGAAUUGGUGCCGAAUUGAUUAUGUUAUCAGGUUUUUCAGUCUGUGCUCAUCUUUUAUUUCUGUUAAUAAUUAAUAGCACAGCUUGUCUUCUCUGCUUCUUUGGUUCCUGUCUAUUGUCAAAUAUAAACUUGUAGAGACAUUUUGUUUUGGCAUGGCACAUGCUAGAUUUUGUUUUUGGUUUGAAUGAUACUACACAUCUAAGUGAUUGUCCAGAUUUUUUUUCAUUCCUAGUGACAUGGCACUCAAUUGAAUGGUGACUCGUGAAUCAUGAUUGUGUGUGUUGGUCUUUGUUAUACUACGUGUUGGCAAGACAAAGUCUUUUGAAACUGCCAAACUUUUCUAUAUGAAUAUUGAAGACAAUAUGAUAAGAUAAAAUUAAUCAAAAACAUAUAUACUUGACAGGGCUGGAACGUCUGUUAUUAGUCCUCGCCUUCCAUUCUUGUUUCAUAUUCUUCUGCUAACAAAUCUUGAUCAUGAUAGUCUUCUCUGUUAUUAAUCCUUUUUUUUUUUUUUUUGGCUUUUGGAUUUUGUUUCCUUUAUAUAUAUAUAUAUAUAUAUAUAUAUAUAUUGUAUACAGUUAUUAGCAUCGACAACUUGAGCUUGCAGUCUUGUGAGUUUAGAGCCUACCAAAGUAAGCAUACACAUGACAAUGAAGAAUUGAAGAUUGUGAACGGUUUACUUGUGCGGCUAUGUUAGAAAAAUUUGACUGAUCGUGAAGAUAUUGAGAGAUCGUCCAUCUUGGUACUGCUAUUGUUGGAGCCUUGAAGUGUCAACUUCUCAUCGUUGCCUACAGUUGCCUCAUUGAUGAAUUGCGUAAAAUAGGCAAACUGAAAAUUGCUUGGGAACUGUUUCAAAGUUUGCCCCGUACAGGCCUAAUGCAAAAUGUUGUAACAUAUAACAUCAUGAUUCAUGGGCUUUGUGAUGAUGGGGCAAAUGGAUAAGACACAUGAUUUAUUUCUUGAUAGACCAUUCUCAGGGCACAAAGGGUGUGGUGCCCAAUUGUGCCAUAUUUACUAUGCUUAUGCGAAAGAAUGAGACAUCAAAAUUUUCAUCACUCAAUGGAUAUAAGAAAUGUAAUGCCAGCUGCAUCUAUAGUUUCAAUUGGUGUGCGCUUACUGGUUAAGAAUGAAAUUAGUUUAAACUUGAUGCCAGAAUUCAAGAGACGGUUAAUUAGAUGAGUUGAAUGUUGAUUUAGUAGCCUUGAAGUUUUGCAAAUGUUUCCUGAUGGAUAAAUUGAACUUGUAUGCACACAUGUAAACUAAAAGAAAAAUUAUUUUAAUAGAAAACGUGCUUUAAGCAUGUCCUUCGGCAUGAGGUAAUACUAUAAAGUUUUUUUUUAAGUAAGGUUAUAAAUUCUAGCAAUUGAGUCUCAAUUUGAUAUUAUAUUCAUCUGGUAUAGGGUAGAAUAUUAAUUUUUUCAAUUAUAAAAUUUACUAUCUAAUAGAUGAACAACACUUAACAGUUGAGAAUGAAAUGGAGACUCAAUUGUUGGGAGUCCAAUCACUUUUUUCUCUUUUAACUUGCUAUUUUUGUUGUCCGAAAUUAUCUGAAGUUCCAUGCUUGCUCCAAUAGAACAAAUAAGAUAGGUUAUGAUCAACUUUUUUUUUUUCCAAAUAAAGGAACCACCUGCAUCGAUACUCCAUAAGCAAGUUUUUUCUUUUGACUGCCCCUUAUAUUUGUCACACUCCUUGUACUAGUGCCCAAUGAAACCACAACAGAAGCAAAAAUAUGGCAAUCUCUCAUAUACUACUGUAAUUGGAACAUCGUCUUCACCUUCAAGUUCUAAAUAAAUAAUUUUCUUUAGUGGUUGUGUGAUAUCAAUUGAGAUACUUACUCUGGCAUACUAACCAAUGCACUCUCCUUCCACGUCCACAUCAACUUCUUCAACUAUACCAAUUGCCUCUCCCAAUGCUUUGAUUAUUUGCUGGUCUAUACACCCAACUGGGACAUUAUGAAGUUGUACCCAAAGGCAGCAUGAGUAAAUGAUUGUUUUGUUAUUUCCCCAAUUCCACUUGCCUCUUUUAGAACUAUUAGAGCUCGUUCAAAAUGCCACUGCCCACUUGAUAAAAUUCUCAUCUUAUCAACUUCAAAGGCAAAUUUAACUUAAAAAUCUUACUCCCCAGAUUUUCAAUUUCACCUAUUCUACUAUUCUGCAUACUUGUUGUAAUGCUCACUUGAGACCCUCUCUAGUAACUCCUCUUAGAUGUAAGACUUUGCCCAGCAAACAGCCCUCAACUAGCUCUCUCUCAUUCCCUUUCAUGACAUUACCAACAACUUCUUUACUCUAUUUUCCUUCUUCUAAUAUAAUAACUUUACACUUGCAAAUUAGUUCUUCUGUUUUCAUUAGGCACUAAAAUAUAAAUCCAUUGUGAUAACUCUUGAGUAUCUACCACUUCCUCUGUAAUUAAGACUCAACAACUCAAAUGAAAAACUUAAAAGUAAAAGAGACACCCAACUCGUGAGCAACUUUCGCAAUCUUAUGGGCUACUACCAUUUCAUUCUAGAUUCUCGCUCAUAGAGGGAGAACCUGUGAAGAAAGACUUCUACAGGUAGGAGACCGCUUACACAGUAGAUUAUUUAUAUUUCUUUGGACUAACUUUUUACUUUAUCAAAGACAAAAACAACAUAAACAAAGACAGAAGAUUAACAAAAGCAUCAAUUGCCAAAGAGUAGAGAGUAUUAUUAUAUUUUAGGAACAUAGGUUAUGACCAACUUAAAAGAAGCAGUUAGGGCUUGUUCAGUACUGUUUUAAAAGCCUUAUUUUCAUUUUUGUUUUGGGAGUACAAAUAUAAUACAUAUUUAGUGGGUUGAAUCCAAAAAUUAAAUCAUAAAAAAGAAUUGAUAUUCACUUUUACAGUUAUAAAAUUAAGAACCUAUUGAACAUGUUCUCAAACAAAUUACAAAUUAAAUUAAAACAUAAACCCCAAAAUAAAAUCUAAAAAGUUAUCUUCCUCUCCUAAAAUCUUAUCUCCUCCCUCUCGUUAUCUCUUCACAACUCUUCCUUCUUCAUGGUAGAUACUUCUCCUCUAACCACAACCCACCUGAAUUGUGCACCGAUCUCUCUCUCCCCAUCCCCUUUAUCUAGGUCUACUUCACAGUUCUCUUCCUCUCAGUGGCUGUUACUUGUUCAUCAACCGCAAUCCAUCGUCGUAAGGUACUACGUCGGAAUAUUUUACCAAAAACAUGUCAAGACAAAGUGAUGUCUAUCAUGGUUUAUUACUGCAAGUGCAUUAUUUUCUUUGUACUAAAGUGAAUCUUUGAUGUAUUUAUUAAAUUUGGUGGAGCAAUCUUAGUUAAUUUUGAUGAUUUAUAUAUGCAUUUAAUUUCAUUUUUAAUAAUUCAUGUGCAGGAAAUAUGGAUUCUUGGCUUUGCUUGGACUGAUGGUUUGGGCAAUUUCAUUUGGAAUCAAUCAACUUCGAGGAUAAACACUUGUAGUUCAUCCUUUGUUCUCUAAUUUUGUUCAUGGGACUUGCUUUUCUUCCAUCCAACUUUUUUGUUCUCUAUUUCUAUGGUAGCAGUUUUAUGUUUUGUGUUGGUGGGAAACUUCAUGCUGCAAUUUUGUCAAAUUCUGUUGACAUACCCUAAUCAGUAAUGACUUUGCUGCAUGGCGAAAGCAUAAGCUCAUAGUUGACAUUGUUGUCAUUAGAGCUUGUUUCCAUAAAAAAAAAGUGUAAUUUGAAAGUACAUUGUACACUAUUGAAUUUGAAUUAUCUCCAACAAGUGUUGAUGCAUGAUGUCCAUCAUGUAAUUUUUUUAUAAUCAUUUUGUUUAACUUAUAUGUGUUGUAAUAUAUAGCUUAAUUAUAGUGUAAAAACAAUGGCAAUGUAAUUUUUUUAUUAAUGCUAAUACUAAAACUUUAUCAUCAUGCAAUGUUUUAUAAUUAUUUUGAUUAAAUUAUUUAUGGUAUAUUUUUGUAUUAAUUAAAUAAACAAUUAGUUUUUAUUAAAAAAAUUAUGACUUAUAUGUUUAGUAAAAAUUGUUCAUGAAAAUAGUAUUACCGAACACAUUUUCUCUGUGUUUAUCUUUUUCAAUUGUGUUUACGGAACACAUGUUACUGUUUUCAAUUUAGAAAAUACAAGAGAUAGAAAAUGAUAUCAGAUGUCUAUUUAAUUCAAAAUGCAGCAACUGCAAAACACUAUUUUUACUCUCAUUUUUCUUUUUAGAAAAUACUAAUUUAGAAACAAUACCAAACAAGAACUUAGUUUUAGUACGAAUAAUGUUGUGUUAGUUUUAUAGGUUUACAUGCACCCUUAGAUUUAUUAGAAGUAUCAGCCCAACCCCCUAGUUACUGUUGACUAAUAUCGAACCCGCUGCCCGAUGUUGACUCUUGAAAGUAACUAUAACAUCUAUAUUGUAAUCUCACUUUAUUAACUAAUAAAUUUUAAAAAUAUAAACAGAUCAAUAAUAACAAAAUAAUUAAAGUUGAAAUCCAAGAAAUUACACAAAAAACCACACCUAAACCAAACCUGAAAACCAAAAUGCAUAAAAUUUCAUUAAUUUAGGUUGUGACAAUGAGUCGUCUACAUUAUAUGAUGAAGGAACAAUUUCUAUCAUUUUACCAAGUUAUUAAUACUAUGUUUACGUACUAGAGUGGGCCUGAGAAGUAUAGAUUCCUCACACACUAGAGUUUACUUGCAUAUUCUAAGAGGUGUGGGAAUCUCACUCCGUUGAUCCCACCCAAUUUUGAAGUAGGGAGUGUGAUUUCCACUCCCACAAGGGAAGGUCCACUCCCACAACUUUAUUUUUUACCUUUCUUUUAUUAAAUUUAAUACAAUCAUAUUUAGUAAAAUAAAACAAAUAACAUCAUAUUUAUUUAAUAAAUAUUAUUAUAUUAUUUUAUAAAAUUCUAUUUAUUAAAAAGAAUAAUAUUAAUCUUAUUUAGAUAAAAUUAUUAUUAUAUUUAUUUAAAAAUAAUAGCAUUAUAUUUAUUUAAUAUUAAUAAUUAAUAUUAAUAAAUAGUUUAUUCUAAGAAAAUAUUUAUUUUGCACUAUAUUAUUAAUAAGAGAUAUUAUCAUUUUUCCACCAAAAUUAUUCUGAUACAUCAUGUUAGUAGCACGGUUUGGUAAAAACAUCAUUUUACCACCAAACGUUUAAAUUGUUAGUAUUUUUCCACAAUUCCGUUAAAACUCAGUUAAUAUUUAAUGAAAAAUGCAUAAAAAGUCAAUUUUACCCCUGGAGCAUAAAAGAUAAUUUUACCCUUUAAAAAGGAAGAACGACAAAAGAUGAUUUAAUUACAAAAUUACCCCCAAAAGACGACAAGACAAUUUUACCCUUUAAAAAGGGAGAACAACAAAAGACGAUUUAAUUACAAAAUUACCCCCAAAAGACGACACUGCUGCGAGAGUGAGAGAGAUAUGGGUCAGUGACAGUAAGCGAGAGAGGACGGAGAUGGAACAAGAAACGAGAGAGAGGGGGGUUGAUUUCGAUUUUUAGGGCUUCCAUAUCCAAAUUGCUUGUUUUUUUACAAUUGCAAAACACAACGUUUUGCCUUCGCAUGAGAUGUCCAAAAUGCCCUUAUGAUGUCAACAUAAUUUUUAUUUAGUUAACGGAAUGGUGGGAAAAUACUAACAAUAUAAAUGUUUGGUGGUAAAAUGAUGUUUUUAUAAAAUCGUAGUACUGAAAUGAUGUAUCAGAAUAACUUUGGUGGGAAAAUGAUAAUAUCCCUAUUAAUAAUAAUGUUUUAUUUGUGUUGCUCUUAUCAAUAAUUUUUAAUUUAAAUAAUUAAAAUUAAAACUAAUAAAAAUUUAUGAUUUACAUAAUUAAUAAUAUUAAUAAUUAUUGUUAAUUUACAAAUAUAGUGAAAUAAUAUAUUUUAUUUCAAAUAUAUUUUUUUAUUAAUUUUGUAAUUAAAAGGUACAAUUCUUUAAAUAAGUGUAAAACCGUAAUUUGAAACCAUUUACUCCCUUCUCAUUCUAGUGAGAGGAAACAACUUGCUCCCACUCCACACUCUUAAUCACAAGAUUCUCACUUCUCAAUAUUCCCACUAUAAUUUAAAAUGUAAACACCGUUUAAAACAUCAAAUAAAAUUCUCAAUUAAGUAAACCAUAAUGUGAUUGCAUAUAAAAAAAAAUUAAUAAUAUUAAUUUUCAUAAGAAUUUAUGCUCGUAGUAUUACUUUACUUUUUAUUAACCGUUGCUUCAACUUAUGGUAGAUUGUAACAUAUGCACUUUAAUUUUCUUAAUUAAGUGUAUUAUUUAAUUUUUCUCAUUCGAUGUUAAUUUUAAAUUUGUUUUGACAUAAAAUUGAGACAAUUCGAAUACGAUUCAAUGGCCGUGUAGCUGGAUUUUAUUUCAACAUGGGUCAGGCAUUAGCUUAGUUAGUAGUAAUCUUUAAAAAAAAAAAGCUAGUUUAUAUAAAUGGAAAAGGGGGAGCUGAUUUCCAAAAGAGGAAAGAAAGAGGGGCACGCGAGAGAAAAGGAGAGAGAGAGAGAGAGAAGUUGACCCGUUUAGCCCGACCCGACCCGACCCACAAGACCGACCCGGCUCCAACUCCCGUUUCUGGCCACCAUUCCAAUCAAGCUUGGUACCAAUCUGAAGCUUGAGCGACGCUGGCCAUAUCCCCGCUGUCAUCGUCACCGAAAAACAGCCACAACGCCGGUGAUCAUCGUCAAUCUCGCUGGAAUUAGGUUGCACCACCGGCUGGGUUCGACUCCUCACAUCACCAGCUUUCAUUUCCGACUAACCCCGCCACCUGAAACCUUUGUUUUGGCCCUGAAUGACCACCGGAAAGCUCACGGCUUUGGGAGCACGAUCCGCCGCCAUCUCCGCGUGUGGGAGGUCACCGUCGACGCCAUUGGGCUCACCGAGGUCAGAACUAUCAUACUUGAGCUUUCCGUCGCCGUUGACUGAAGUCCGGUCACCGUUGAGCAGUGGGGGCAAUUUGGUAAUUUCACAAGACUUUAAGGUGGAUUUUUAAUUUGGUAAUUUUAGGUUAGGGCAAUGAGGUAAUUUAAGACUUUGAGGGUAAUUCGGUAAUUUAAGUUAUUAAGAGCAUUUUGGUAAUUUCGCACUUUGAGGGUAAUUUCUUAAAUUCAAAACUUGUGAUUAAUUUUGUUAUCCGAAUUGAGGACAAUUUGGUAGUUUAAGAUAUUGAAGAUGAUUCGAUAAAUUAUGAUUCCGAUGGUACUUCGGUAAAUUUCGGUGUCAGGGGCAUUUUGGUAAUUUUUGGACAUAAGGGUAAUUUUGAAAUUUUAUGUAUCCGGGAGUUUGGUUUUGAGCUUUAUUUCAUACUGUUAGUCGUAUUUCAUGAUACAGAUAAUAAUUAUGUCGUUUAUUUAAUUAGGAGGACUCGCGAGCAAAAAUCAACCAGCGGACGUUACAUACUGUUAGUCGUAUUUCAUGAUACAGAUAAUAAUUAUGUUGUUUAUUUAAUUAGGAGGACUCGCGAGCAAAAAUCAACCAGCGGACGUUAGUGAUACCGAGUCUGGACAUCGUCACUGUGACUGGAAUAUACAAAACUUAUUUUCAUGGUAUAUUCUGAUUUUACCAUACAGUACAACAUGUUUUGAUAAUAAGUAUUUGAUGCUUUGAUUUAAUGAUUUUCUAGAAAUUUGAUUUUCAUUCUACGUGCUGAUAUUUAUUAUUAUUGAAAAUGAGUUUGAUUAAUGAUUUUAUUAUCAUUUUUUUUGAGUAAAUGCAUGAUAUUAGAAUUGAGUGGAUUUGAGAUAUGUUGAAUAAAAAGGAAAUGGGAUUUUAUAUGUGAUUAUAUGUUUGCGUGCAUGUGCAUAAAAGAUUGUUUGGAAAAUCAUUGGAAGUACCUUUCCCCUUUUAGAUACAGAGAUACAUAUAAUAUGAGAUGAAUACAGUGAUACAGAUGAUAUGAGAUGAGAGGUUUUUGGGGCCCGUCUGAACACACACAAAGACUUUGGGCCGUGUGUUUGGGCGCUUUUUCCUUUUGGGGGCUUAUGCAUACAGUAUGAUGAUUACAUAAAUACAGAUGUUGAGAUACAUGAGAUAUGAGAUGACAUUUUCCUAUAUAUCCAUUGUAACUCCAGGGCAUGAUGGUUCCCUGAUUGUCCGUCCGUCGAGGUCCGAAUAUGAUGAGAUUAUUCCGCUGGAUACUUGUUUGAUGAUAGUUUUUUGUAUCUAGUAUUUGAUAUUAUAAGUAUUAUGAUUUCAUUGAUUUUAUGCAGAUUUAUGUAAUAUUGUUAUUUCAGUGCAUGAAUUAAAUUAAAUAAGUUUAUGUAAGUUCUUAUGAUAUUUUGAUGAAAUUAACUUGGAAAAGAUUAAAUCAUUUUAAAUAAAUUUAUUUUUCCAAAAACUACUAUCCACUCACUGAGCUCACUGAGUUUUAUACUCACCCCGUUUUUAUUAUAUUUUUCCUCCUAUAGGAAAUUUGCAGGUACAUCAGUCGACCCAGCAACGAUAGUUAGAUUGAAAUUAUGGCCACGUGAUGGUGUUAGAAAUCAUAGAUGUUUUGUUGGGACAUGUUGAAUUGUAUAAUUUAUUACUUAUUUGUGAUUAAGGAUAAAUCAUUAUAUUCUUGACAUUAUAUGAUUGAAGGAUACUGAUAUUUAAAUUGAGGAAGUUGGUUGUGGAUGUUGAUUAAAUAUUGUAUUAUUUUUGGGAGUAUUAAUUGUAUAAAUUGUAGGUUUGGGGAUGUCAUAAUUAUAUAGAAAACUGUCGAAUUUUUUGUAAAAUUCUUAGAUAUCAGAAUUAUUAUUAGUUUGAUUAGGCGAGAUUAGAUAGACUCGUCCUGGGGAUUCGGGGCGGGUCGUUUCAUAGAUAUUAAGAGAACAAUAAUAAUAUAGCUAUAAAUGGUUGCAUACUAUCAAUCAACUUAACACUAUAAUUACCAACAAAUCCUUAAUACUAUAAAUAAUUAAAUUAUUGGGGUUUUAAAAUAACUCUCCAAACUUUGCAUGAUUUCUUUAUAUGUAGGUGCCAUGGUUCCUAUAAGUAAUAUCAGCCACACUUUUUGUUAUUGUUAAAACAAAUUUAUAAGUACAAUUUGUGAAUUUGUACAAAAUGUGGUAUUAUACAUUUGAAGCAUGAACCGAGAAGACAAUGUUGUGUCACUAAUAAAGAAAAAAAAAUUGUAUAAACUACAGAUGUUGUAGUGUAACUUGUAUUCUUUUUAUUUAUAAUUGUACCUAUCAUGUGAUUAUAAAAAAAACUGAGAUUUUAAAAUUUUGUAAUUGCACUAUUUUUGGAUUAUCAGAAGGCUUCCUCUCCUUAGUGAUGCCCUUAAUCCAUAAAUGGUCCAAAAAAUAAUUCAUGAAAUGAAUUUAUUAUUUUAGAUAAGUUUCAAGUACGCAUACCUUUACUAGCUCCAUAUUGCAUAACUCCUCAUUUCAAUCAAUGGAUACAUUUGUUUACUUUUUCUUUCUUGUAAAUUUUUGAAUGGCCACAAUUCUAUAGAUAAUUAAUUAAGUGUUAUUGUUAUCAUUAUUUUGUAGAUUUAUAUGUGAGGUGGGGACGUUGGGGGGCAUGUAUCUCAAUAUAGCAGAGGGCCAUAAUAUUUAUUCUUUAAGAGGAACCACAACCAACAUCAAUGCUUUAAGUUCCAUUCCAUGUUCCUUCUAUGCACCAGAUUGCAUAAACAACAUUGAUUAUCCAAGGUCAAAGUCUCUCAAAGACUCUAGUUACAAUACAAAGCAUGGGUUAGCGGCCAAAAUUUUCUUGCAAUGAAAGGCUCGUAAACUGAUGAUAGCUGUUGGAUGGUUUUGGGCCCCAAUGGUUUUAAUAUUAUUCUCUUAAAAACAUAUAUGUUGAUUAGAGACGAGAGGAAAAAGAUAAUCUGAUUCAGCAAGCUGCAGAGGAAAGAGCACGCAGUGGAGUUCAGAUUUUGAAUUCUCUUGUUAAAUUGUUUUUAAUUUACUACAAGGUAGAAUACGUUGCAGUGUUAAAAAAACACUUUGAACAUCCUAUUUUUGUAUUACAAAUAUACCAAGAUUUAAAUUAUUAUUUUUCUUUAUUAGUAUAAACUAAAUUUUGCCUGAAUUCUCAUCCUUGUAAGUGGAAUUUUAUUGUGAAACUAAUAGUCAUUCCUAGUUGAACUAUCACUUUGAACAUAUGUGUCCUCUCUAAUAACAGCUUCCAAACCUGCAGCUACCUGCUUCUCAGCAUUAGAAGUAGCCAUAAUUAGGAGGAGGGCAAACUUCCAAAUAACAUUCCAAAUGGUAUUGUGAAAAAAUUUCACCCUUUUGGUAAUAAAAAAUAACCUUAUUUCUAACUUUCUAUUAACAAUCUUACCACAAAGUUCUCUCUCAAGUAGAAACAUUAUAUAUAUAUAUUAAUUUUUUGUUAAAAUAAACAAAACCAGUGGCGGAUCUACAGCUGGGCUAGGUCUAGAAAAAAUCAUUUAAACCCCUUGUCUUUUGAUUCAUUUUACAUAAGGAUAGACUUUUUAUUUUAUUUUUAUAUAAGUCCCCAAUUCAGUUACAAUUAUGUUUUUGUCAAAUUUCAUAGAAUAAUAGAGUUUUUACUUUAUUUUCAAAUAUUUCCUUAACUCAAUUAUAUUUUUUUCCCAACUGAAAUUAAUGACUUAUUUUAUAAAAUAAUUAAAUUAUAUAUUUAUUGAAUAGAUUGAAAACAUUAGGGGUUUAAAAUGUUAUUUUUAAUUUGUUUUUAAAAAAUUUAAUUUAACAAAGUAUGUGAAUGUAAUAUAACAUCGUCACUAUUAUUAAAAAUACUAAAAACAUAUAUAAUAAAAAUUAUUCAUAAAUUCAUAAAUUUUUUAUGUAAAUGUUAACAUUUUAUUUAUUAUUUACAUUAACUUAGAGGAUAAGUUAGAAAGUAAAAUUUGAGUAUUUUAAUCUGAUUUUUUAAAGAGAGUCAGAGUGUCUGGCAAAGAAAUAACAGCACGCAAGUACCUUUUUGCUAGGUUAGAGUUUAGUUUAUUAUUGAAACUCUUGACGACUAAUAUUUUUAUAAUUUAAAAAGAUGAAUAGAUUUUAAUUGUUUAAUUUAUUUAAGCUUGGUAACUAAGGUGGCAUUUGUUUUUUAACUUAAUGACUUAAAGUGACUUAACUUAAUUAAUUAAGUUAAUUAGAAGUGUUUGUUUUUAUAACUUAGACUUUUUAGAUAAUUUUGACUUAAUAAAAUAAGUCAAUUUUUUUGGCUUUUUACUUAAUGGAGAAAUUUGAAUUAAGUCAAUUACUUACUAAUGUCAAAAAUAUCCAUGUUUUAUAAUUUAUUUUUCAUAUCUAUCCCAAAACUCACCCAUAGAACAUUUACCCCACAUAAAAAUAUCCUUAUUUUUUAUUUCUUAUAUUAUAUACGAUAAAAUUUGAAAUUUAUGGUAUUUUAUACGAAUGUAAAAGUACAUAUUUUUAGCUUUUUCAGUUGAAAAAAACAAACAACUUAAUACUUAUUUUCCGAGAUUCAGACGAAAAAACAAACAUAUUAUUCAGAUUCAGACAUACAGAUCUAUUCAGAAUUCAGACUAAUUCAGGUCUAUUCAGAUUUCAGACAAAAAAACAAACGCCACCUAAGUAUUUUUCAAACAUAAAGUUGUACUUGCACUUUUUAAAUGAUUAUAAUUACAUUUAUUGACUUAUUCUAAUUUAAAAUUCUUAAUAGAUUUAUUAAUUCUUAUAUAAUUAGAUGUUAUUAUAGGUUGCAAUGUUAGAUUUAAUAAUUAAAAAUAGUAUUUUUAUAUUUGAAUUAUCUUUUGUUUUUUAGUAUUUUUGUACAAUUAUUUUUGUUUAGAGUAUAUAUUCGUAGAGUUUUUCGUGUCCCCAUUAUUUGAUGUACUUCUUUUUACUUAUGAAUAUUUAUGUUCACUUCAAAAUAUAAAAUUUUAAAUUUAGCCCGGGGUAAUAUAAAUUCUUAGGUCCGCCCCUAAGCAAAACUAAAUAUUUAUGACUUAAAAGAUAGGUGUUGAACAGAGGCAGUCUCACAGAAAAAAAAAAAAAGUAUUUGAAAGCAGUGGUGAUAUCAUAAUUUUUUGUAUUGAUACGAGAGUAUCAUACUAGAUUUUUUUCCGCAAUACAAAAAGUUUGUAUUCAAGAAUAAAUAAGCAAUUUCGGGAACAAAUUUUACAAAAAGCCUCGAGGCCAUGUCGUAUGAAUUUGUGAUACCAAAAAUAGUAUACUAGUCAGUAUAUCUUCUUUCCACAUUACAAAAAAUUAGAAAUGCAAUCUAAAUCGAUAUCAAUUAAUAAUUUUAUAGUACACGAAAUCAAGGUAUUUUUUCAUAAUUUAAGAAAUUAUUAGUCAUUUACCCUAAAUUUACUUUGUCUCCAAAAAUACUACGAAAACUUUAACUUGUUUAGUUUUUUACCUUAAUUUAUAAUUUAUAUCAAUCACUCACUAAAAAGAUAAAAUUAGCUCAUAAAAUGACAAAAUAAAAACAAACACAAAUGACAAUACCAGUAAUUUUAUAAGGAUAAUCAAGUCCUUUUGGCACCAAAUUACGUAUUAAAAUAAUUUAAAUAUUAUAAAUUAUUUUCAGAUUGAGUGAGGAACCCUGGUCAUUUUAACAAUUAUGGUCAUUUAAUCUAUCUAAACAUGAUAUUUCAAGUAGACUUAUGUUUGCGUGAGAGGAUAAUGUAAAAAAAGUGGCACUUUUAUUCAACUGAAUAAAUUUCACAAUUUAAAUUAGAAAAGGAUAAAAUUUAAUAAUUAACUAUUUUUUGAACUAAUUCAAUCGGGAGCCAUUAUUUGUAGGCUGUAGCGGUCCCAAAAGCAUGACAUUAUUGUGAGUAAUGUAUCCUACUUGCAAAAUAAACGGCAGAAUGCGGUUUGGGGACGGAUUAUCGAGGUAUUUGUUAAUAUUCGGAAAUGAGAAGAAAAGGUCAAAUAAAAUUUUAACUUAUUAUUAUUAUUAUUAAAGAUUGUAACUCAGAUGAUUAGACAAAUAAAGGAGCUAAAGGCCACUUGGCGGCUUCACUAGGAGCUGUUUGAGUUUAAUUCUAUUGGUAAAAUUCUAUUUUGGUAAUUCUAUUCUUCUUCUUUUCAACCCCAAAUAAUCAAAAGCUCUCCAAUGGCUUUCGUAUCCACAACUCGUCCAUUUCAUUUUACUUCAAUUUCAGUAUCAGCUCUUAGAUGUAAUUUCUCAUCUUCGUUCCCUCAUACCAGAAAACCCACAUCUUCAAUUUCGGAAAAUGAACCCUCAUAUCCGACCGCAACAGCUAAACUGAAGGAGUCGCUACGACUGACAGUCAAAGACGGAGCCUCACUCGAAAAAUUUCUUAAAGAAAGGUGCAAAUCAUCAGGUCAAGGUGAUAUUAAUCUUAUUACUCCUAAUGAAGCCUUGUGUAUCUUUGAUUACAUGCUCCGUAUGCACCCUUCUCCGCCUCCUGUCUCUUCCUUCAAUAUUUUGUUUGGUUGUCUUGCUAAGAAUAAACAUUAUGAUACUGUCCUUUCACUCUUCAAGAGACUCAAUUCAAUUGGGUUGUUUCCAGAUCUUUAUACUUAUAGUAUCUUGAUUAACUGCUUUUGCAAAAUGGGUCGAGUUUCUCCUGGUUUUGUUGUUCUUGGGAGAAUCCUCAGGUCUUGUUUUACUCCAAAUGCUGUGACCUUUACUUCUUUGAUUAAAGGUUUGUGUGCGGAGGGUAGAAUCAUGGAGGCCGCUGCAUUGUUUAUGAAACUUAGAGUGUUUGGUUGUGAGCCUAAUGUUUUUACAUACAAUACUUUGAUUAAUGGAUUGUGUCGAACUGGCCAUACAAUUGUUGCUCUAAAUUUAUUUGAAGAGAUGGCUAAUGGAAAUGGGGAAUUUGGUGUUGUUUGUAAGCCAAACACUGUUACAUACACUACUAUUAUCGAUGGUCUUUGUAAGGAAGGUUUUGUGGACAAGGCCAAGGAACUGUUUCUGAAGAUGAAGGAUGAGAAUAUUAACCCCAAUGUGGUUACUUAUAACUCUUUGAUUCACGGUUUUUGUUACGCUAAUGAUUGGAAUGAGGCGAAGUGUUUGUUUAUUGAGAUGAUGGACCAAGGGGUACAGCCGAAUGUUGUGUCUUUUAAUGUGAUCAUGAAUGAGCUUUGUAAAAAUGGGAAGAUGGACGAAGCAAGUAGGCUGUUAGAAUUGAUGAUUCAGAUUGGUGUGCGUCCAAAUGCUUUUGUCUAUAACACAUUAAUGGACGGGUUUUGUUUGACAGGUAGAGUUAAUCGUGCGAAGGAACUAUUUGUUUCUAUGGAGAGUAUGGGUUGCAAACAUAAUGUUUUUAGUUACAGUAUUUUGAUAAAUGGUUACUGCAAGAAUAAGGAAAUAGAGGGAGCGUUAAGCCUUUAUAGCGAAAUGCUCUCUAAAGGUAUUAAGCCAGAUGUUGUUAUAUAUAACACCUUGUUUAUUGGCCUUUUUGAAAUACACCAGGUUGAGCGUGCUUUCAAGCUGUUUGAUGAGAUGCAACGUCAUGGCGUGGCAGCUGAUACCUGGGCGUAUAGAACCUUUAUUGAUGGGCUCUGCAAGAAUGGUUAUAUUGUAGAGGCAGUUGAACUAUUUCGUACUUUGAGAAUUCUCAAGUAUGAACUUGAUAUUCGAGCCUACAACUGCCUCAUUGAUGGAUUAUGUAAAUCCGGCAGACUCAAAAUUGCAUGGGAACUAUUUCGUAGUUUGCCUCGUGGAGUCCUAAUAGCAGAUGUUGUAACAUAUAACAUCAUGAUCCACGCGCUUUGUGCUGAUGGAAAAAUGGACAAGGCACGUGAUUUGUUUCUGGAUAUGGAAGCAAAAGGUGUAGCACCCAAUUGUGUCACAUUUAACACGCUGAUGCUAAGUUGCAUCCGCAAUAAUGAGACAUCAAAAGUUGUUGAACUCCUUCACAGAAUGGAUGAGAGAAAUGUAAUACCAGAUGCAUCUACACUUUCAAUUGUUGUGGACUUACUUGUAAAGAAUGAAAUUAGCUUAAACUCGAUUCCACAAUUCAAGAGUCAAAGGUAAGUGAGUUUAAUAUUGAUUUAGUCGCAUGUUUUUUCUGCCUGAAAACCCCGAUCUGGAGGAUCCCAUUCUUAUUAACACAUGUAAAGGAGUGUUGUCUAAUGUUGGCAUGUUCCUAGGUUCUGUCCAUGGAUUCUGUUUGCGGACAUGGCUAACUUCUUGUCCAACAGAUAAGUUUUAAAGUCUUUCAACUUUAUGUUGUAAAAUAACAUUUUUAUUAUUCAAUUCAUGAGUUUUCCUUCUGUAUCACAUACUUCUCAUUAGCUGGAAGCGCAAAUUUUUUAGGCUUUUCCUGUAUGGCCUCUUUUUCUGCUCUAAAUAAAAUGGCAUUUUAUUUCUCUCUUGUGAGGGUACAAGGUUUAUGUUUAAACUUUCUGUUAGUUAAUUUGGUUGUCUUUGAUAUAGGGAACUUCCAGUUGAACUGAUUUGUAAUUCGAGUAUAUGAGAUUACCAACUGUAUUGGGAAUUGAUGCCAAAUUAAUUAUGUCAUCAGGUUUUUCAAUCAGUGUUCAUCAUUUAUUUCUGUUAACAAUUAAUAGCACAGCUUGACUUCUCAGCUUCAUUGGUUCCUCUCAAAAAUAAUCUUGUAAAGACAAUCUUUCUUGGGCAUGGAAAAUGCUAGAUUGUUACAUGGCAUUCAAUUGAAUGAGGACUCAUGAUUGUGUGUAUUGGUAUUUGUUAUACUAUGUAUUGGCAAGACAAAGUUUCUUGAAACUGACAAACUUUUCUCUAUGAAGAUUGAAGAAAAUAUGAUAAGAUAAAAUUUAUCAAAAGCAUAUAUGCUUGCCAGGGAUGGACCUUUGAUUAUUAGUCCUCGCCUUUCGUGCUUGUCUGUUCUGUGAAAUAAUUCAUUCUCCAUGCUGCUAGGGCCUAGGCUUAUGACUCUUCUUUGAAAUAAUUCAUUCUCCACAAUGUGAAAAAAAUGCUUGAAACACGACACAGACUUAACUGUUUACAGGAAAAGCGGCAGAAACUUGUGAAAUUACCGAUUAAAAAGUACCUACCAUGAGGAAGAUGCUAUACAACUCACUCGGAAAAUGUAAAAUGGUUAACAGACAUCCAAGAUGAUCAACCAGAAACACAAUUCAGAACAUGGGCUGCUUUUGGUUACCCGGCUUUCAGAUUAGGAGAUUAGGAUCCUAAAUGCUUUGAUCUACCUGAAAAGUAUACAAAUAUCAGAGUUAAAACAGAGCAGAUGAAAACGUAUUGAUGAACUCAACUGAGAUAAAUGACAAAAGAAAACUAACUUUUCCUGUACAAAACUCGCACACCUUCCUUUAAGAGCUGACUUUCCAAGAAGAGAUCACCACAAUCGUUCACAUCAACAGUCUCCACUUGAAAAUUUUUAUAACCACAAUAGUCAUUCCAUUCAAACCACAUCCUUGAGAUCAGUUCCUUCUUCAAGCAAGUAGGAUGGUCUUCCUCUUGAGGAGGCUCAGCAGCAACCAAUCUAUAUGCAUAAACUUUCUUUGUUUGGCCUGGCCGGAAAGGCCUGCCGAUUGCUUGGCGGGUUUCUGAUGGAGUAAAGGUAACAUCCAGAAUAAUGAUCCAAAUUUUUGUGGACUUACAUGCAAAGAAUGAAAUUGGUUUAAACUCGAUUCCACAAUUCAAGAGUUAAUGAGUUUAUCUUGAUUCUGUAGCAUGUCUCUUCUGCUUUAAAACCAGAUCUGGGGAAUCCCAUUCUCAUUACAACAUGUGAAGGAGUGUUUGUGUAUUGUUGGCAUGUUCCCAGGUUCUGUUCACGGAUUCUGUUUGCAGACAUGGCUAACUCCUCGUUUCAUCAGAUAAGUUUCAAAGUCUGGCAACUUUUUGUUGUAAAAAUAACUAUUUCAUUAUUCAAUUCAUGAGUUUUCCUUCUAUGGUGCAUCUUUCUCAUUAGCUGUAGUUUCAAAAUUUUUAGACUGAUUUGUAAUUCGAGUAUAUGAGAUUACCAACUGUAUUGGGAAUUGAUGCCAAAUUAAUUAUGUCAUCAGGUUUUUCAAUCAGUGUUCAUCAUUUAUUUCUGUUAACAAUUAAUAGCACAGCUUGUCUUCGCAGCUUCAUUGGUUCCUCUCAAAAAUAAUCUUGUAAAGACAAUUUUUGUUUUUUGGCAUGUUAAAUGCUAGAUUGUUUGUGUGUAUCGGUAUUUGUUAUACUAUGUAUUGGCAAGACAGUUUCUUGAAACUGACAAACUUUUCUCUAUGAAGAUUGAAGACAAUAUGAUAAGAUAAACUUUAACAAAAGCAUAGAUGCUUGCCAGCGCUGGACCUUUGAUUAAUAGUCCUCGCCUUUCGUUCUUGUUUCAUAUUCUUCUGCUAACAAAUCUUGAUCAUGAUUGUCUUCUCUUUUCUUUGCAACCCACAUAUAAAGUCUCGGCCAUAAGCCUCGAGGCCUAUUCUCUUUUGUAAAGGUGAGUUGAAGAAACUGCAAGGGACUCCAAAGCAAAUGGUGUAGAGCACCUUUCACUUAUCACGGGCACAGGAUUACUCUGACUUUCUGCAUUUUACUGUUGGCUAUGGUUUGAUGCAUUAUUUAUUGUUCUGAAAUACCAUUCUCGUUGGAAGUUCAAUCAUUACUGUUUCUUUUUUCCCCCCUUUUUACUUGAAGUUACCUGAAGCUCCAAUCGAACGAGUAAUGUAAUGUAGGUGUUGACCAACUCCAAAUAAGUAGUUAGUUGCCUAGUAGUUGCUUUGCAUGAAAUAUGUUUUUGGUAUGAAUAAUGUUGUCUUAAUUUUACAAGCUUCCAUGGAACUCCUAAUUUGUUGGAAGUAUUAACUCAACCCGUCAUUUAAGGUUAGAUUUAACCAUUGACUUAUGUUGACUAUUAAAAGUAUUAUAAUAUUCUAUAAAUAUAACGAAACCCCCCUUUAUUAACAAAUAUAAUUUAAAAUAUAAAAAAUUAAUAAUAAAAAAUAACAAAGUUGAAAUCCAAGGAGCAACUUCUAUCCCCUAACCAAGUUAUUAAAUAUUAGAGUAGAUAGAGGCAUAUACUUUUCUUCAUGAUUCAGAAUCAUAUCUCAAAUAAAAUUCUCAAUGAUUGCAGGCCUCAAUACCAUUAAGAUGAACUAGACUAUCAUGAAAUUUUGUGCAUCUUGCAAGGUCCAAUUUCUCCAAGUUUAUCAUCAAGCCAAAAAAUGUCAUAAUUCCUUUUAUAGUAAUUUCAUAGUGUUUACUAAACGGUAAUAGAAAUGGACUGAAACACAAAUAGGGAAUGCAAGUUAGAAUAAGGAUGGCAAUGGUGAGGGGGGAGGGGACCAACAUCCUUGUACCCAUCCCUGAUGUUCUGUAUAUGUCCCCAUCCCCUUCCCGUCCCCAUCAAAAUUACUUAAGGGAAUUCACGUCCUCCCUCUGAAUAAUAACAGGGAAUCCCCAAAGGUCCCCGAUCCCCAAAUAACUGAUAUAUUUGUUUAGUUUUCAAACUUAAUUUAAUCAUAUUAAGCUAAAAAUAUAUAAAAUAAAAUGAAAAUGAUCAUGAAUGCGCCUUAUAUUUCAUUCAACUCCUUCAAACUUUUGGUAUAUAUAAUAUUCAAAUAAUGAUUUUCAAAACAAAAUUCAAAUAAUGUGAUUUUUAUACAAUAUUGACGUGAUUGUUGUCCAUGAGUAACGAUACCUACUGAUCACCGACUAUGAUGCAACAAAGCCGCAUGUGUGGCUGCUAGUUGACAUUGCGAUGAGUUAGUGUAACCCCCACUUUUAUUUAUUUAUUUUUUUCCUCUUUUGCCCUUAUUAAACUGAGUAGGAUAGUUAUUAUUGAGUGUUUGUGUGUGAGUAAAAUUUAUCGGAUUGUUUUAAAUAAGUUACGUAAGUUAUUUUUUUAAAAAAAAAAUAUUUAUUAAUUACCAAGUAUUUAAGAGAAAACCAUAUUUUUAAGAAGCCGUUUUUUAUUUUUCUUACACCGUUACAAACCCUAGAAAGAAAAGAAAGAAAUAUAAGUCUUUGCAAAAGGAAAAGAAAGUUUUAUCACUUCUUUUCUUAGUGUUUGCUUUAAGGUAUUAAGUAUUUCUUCGACUUAUAUGAUUUAUUUUUAUGAAAUUGUUUGCAUUUAAUUACUUGUAGUAUGAAUUGGGUAAUAUAUGUGUUUGUAAUGUUGUGAUGAUAUGAACAGUCUCUAUUCCUUGCUUGAAAUCGUUUUCUUUAUUUAGAAUCACGUGAAUAUCUUACAUAUCAUGGAACUAGACAUCCUAGGCUUUCCAUUGAUAGGUUUUGUGUUGAAAUCGCCUGAGAAUGCAAAUUCUUAUGGGUUUUCGAAGUUGGGUUACUGGUGCUGGAAAAUUCCGAUUUUCAGCAGCGGUUCUCAACUCUGGAAAUUUUUCUAUAAGGUUACACAUCCUUAAAAAUUAUGCUGAUUUUUGUGCCAACAGAUCUAUGUCUCCUAUGCUUGCAUGUUUAAUUUCGUAGUUUUAUUCUUUAUGGUUGAAUUAUUAAAAAUCGUAACAUAUGGCUGCUGCAAAUCUGGAGACUGUUAUCCAGAAUUUCAGAAGCUGAAACGUGUAACAGUUGAGCUAGUUUAUGAAUAUUACAUGCCAUGUUAGGAUUUUAUAAUGAAAUUUCAAUCUUUCCUCUGUCUUUAAAAACUGGAAUCGCGAUUUUUGGGCAUGUAAAAUAAAAGAUACGAAUUUUUGAAAUUCUGUUUUCAAAUCUGGAAUUUUCUGGACGGGUUAGAUGUUCUCGGAAAUAAAACGUUUUAAAAUAGUCUCAGGAGUCCAAAAAUUAUGAAUUUUAAUUAUAUGCUUUUUGAAUGUGUCUUCUGUAAUUAGAAAAAAAGAUGCAUAUUACUUCGAGUACCAAAGAAUAUUUUAUGAAUUUUCUAAGUGGAAAAGGUCUGUUUUGGUCAGUGCUGGACAGUUUUGUUACUUUGGUGAAAGGUCAAUAUUCUGACUCGAUUUUGACUUGUGCUGAUUUUUGUGAAAUAUUGUAUGCAAUGCUAUGCAUGUUCACAGUGCCUCUGUAAAUUUUCAUGGUUUUCCGACAUGUGUAUAGGUUAUUAAAAAUCAUCAUGUGCAGGAUACUCAUAAGUAUAGGAUAUGUUUAGAAUAUGUAUAAGUAUUAAGCUAGUAUUAGUGUCUAUGAUUUAAGGAUGAUUGGGAUUAUAUUUAAGGUUAGAGAUGAUAUUGAUAAGAAUAUUUUUAUGAUGAUUAUAGGACGUGGGUGAGCUCGUUGGUUGUUCUUGAGGUAUUGAAUUGAUUGCUACGGAUCGAGGUAAGUAGAUUCAUGCAUAAUGUGCUUUAUAAUAAAUGCAAUUUAUGUUACAAAAAUUAUGUUUAAAUGGAAAUUUUUACAAAACUGAUUUCUAAAAUAUUUAAAUGAAUUUUGUAAAAUAAAAACACUUUUAAAUGAAUUUAUAUAAAUGAAUUUUAAAAUGAAUUUUUCUUAAGAAAUGAGUUUUCUUAAACAAAAUAUUUUCUUAAAGAAUUUUCUAAAAGAAUUAAAUGAUCAAAGAAAGGUUCUUAAAUGUUUUAGAAAACUUUAAAAGCUAUUUAUGAAAGGAUUUAAGGUGGAUUCAAAAUGUUUUGGCUUAUAGUCCGUAGUAAUGUAUACAAUGGAAAUGUUAUGAUGUUAUGUAAUAUUAUGGUCAGCUUGCUGGUACGAUGAUGGUCUUGUGCACAAGGAUGUUAUGAACAAUGUGGGACAUAGUACCCUAAAUGAGGAACAAUGCGGGGUAUAACACCCUAAAUGAUGAAUGAUGAUGAUUAUGAGGCAUGAGCUACCAAUGUUUACGCUUUAAUGUUUUCAUAAAUGUUUUAAUGUUUUUAUAUGAAUCCACCCCUUAUGUUAAAUGAAGAUGUUGUUAUAAAAUGUUUAAAGGUAUAUGACAAAGGUUUUCAAAUAUUGUGCAUGGAUUUGAUUACCGAGUUGACGGCUCACCCCUCGUCUCCAAUAUUUUACAGAUUGAUUAGAGAUAUGGCUUGGGUUCUUAGACGGAGAAUUUUUCUUAGUGGAUCUUUAGAGUUGUUUUAAAGAUUAAAUUUGGCUAGACUUCCUAUUUUGCAUUAGAGACUUUUCUUUGGAGACCUUAUUUCAUAUGUUUUAUGUAAGGAUUCAGUUGGAGUAUGAAUAAUGAUUGUUUAUCUUGAGAUUUAUUAAUAAGAAUAAAUGAUGUGAGGUUUCAUUCCAAUUUUACCCUUGUGUUUUCAUGAGUAAUUUUUGGGGUGUUACAGUUAGGCUACUCGGACACCGACAACGCAAUGUGCUACUGGGCUAUGAUGAGAUGAAGACGAGUUGCGUGCUUACUACUGCAUGAAUAAUUUGGAAAUUAUGAGCAAGACUGUGAGAAAGUGAUUUAGAGUUUGAUUUGUGAGUUAUGAGCUUGUGGGAUUGUGUGCUUUUGGUUGUAAUUAAGUCUAAAUUAUAUUAAACAUUUUAUAUUAACUAAUAUUUGUAUUAUUUGUAUAAAUAUUUUGAUAUUUGUUAUUUACACCAAUAUUUUAUAUUUUACAAUUUAAAAUUUAUUAUUUAUUGACUAAUAAUUCUAAAAAAAUAAAAAUAAAAUAAAAUAUUAAAAUAGGGAAAUGGGGAGGGGACGGGGAUUCCACCUCAUCCCCAUCCCUUCCCUGAAUAAGUAAUUGGGUAAAAAAUCGUCUUCGUCCCUUCCCCGAAUAAGAAGUUUGGCAUAAAAUCGUCCAUGUACCCUCCCCAAAUAGGAAAAAUCUCCAAGGGCCCCCAUCCCCAUGGGGAUUCCUGCCAUUUCUAAAUUAGAAUAAAUUAUUUACUUGAACUGUAGGAAUCAGAAUAAAAAUAAGCUGGAUUGUCAUUGAUGUGUCUAUUUUGUCUUGGAAUUGAAAUCAAAAUGAGUUACAUUUUAACAACUUACUAAAAAGUGCUUAAUGAGCUAUUGUCAUAAUUAUUAUUUUAUAUUUUAAUUAUGGUAAUUAUUUAUUCAAAAAUUAUAAUAAUUAUUAUUGUUAAUAAUAUAUUCAUAUAUUAAUUAAUUGAAAAUUAUUUAAAUUAAUUAAUUAUUAAUAUAUUAAUUGAUUAAUUAUAAUAAUACAUUAAUUAAUUAUAACUGAGGACAAAAUAAAUAUUUUUUAUUUUGUGAGGGGGCAAAAUGGUCAUUCCAAGGAAUGGGAGACUAAUUCCCGCCUCCCUUGGGAAUUAAUCUUCCAUUUGCCAUAAAAAAAAAAAAGCUUUCUAACAAGAUAUCAAAAUGGUUAAUAAGAAGAGCAGUAGUAAUGGGGUAAAAGCUCGUUUAGUCCCUAUAUUUUGAGGUUAGUACUUGUUUAGUCCCUAUAUUUUUAAAAAUGCUUCAAAACAUCUUUGUCGUUAAAUUAUUGACACCCCUGUCUUUACUUUGUAUUCCUUUUAGCUUACUUUUACAAUAUUACCAUUUUUGCAAUAUUGUUUAAUUUUUUGGACAUUAAUAAUAAAUAAAAUUACCAAUUUAACCCCAAAAAUAAAAUAAAGACAAAGAAAAUAUAUAUUAAUCUUUGUCGAAACUAUGUCAAAAAAAUAAAUAUUGUAAAAAAAAUUUAACUACUAAUUUUUUAGACAUUAAUAAAAAAAUUAAUAUAUUAAUUCCUCGUGGAGUAUUCAAAAAAAUUAAUAUAGAUUUUUUUUUUGUUUCUAUUUUACUUUUUUGGGUUAAAUUGAUAAUUUGAUUUUUCUUGUUAUUAAUGUGCAAUAAAGAAUAAAUAUUAUUGUACGGGGGUAAUAUUGUAAAAGUAAGUUAAAAAGAACAAAAAAUAACGGUAAGGGUGUCAAUAUUUAACGAUAAGGAUGUUUUAAGGCAUUUUUAAAAAUAUAGAGACUAAAUAGGUAUUAAUCUCAAAAUAUAAGGAUUAAACGAGAUUUUACCCUUAAUAAUGUUACGAGGGGGUUCAAAUGGAGGGGGAUGGGUAUUUCCAAAUUUGUAUCCAUUAAUUUUUUUAAAACUCAUAUCUGUCACUUGUUAUUAUUUUAAGGGAAAUUAUCAGUCAUAUACCUUAAGUUGACAAAACACUUCUACCGUCCACCAUUCCUUUAACUUCCAUUUGCAAGCGUUGACUUCAUAAGGGUAAUUUAGUCUUUUAAGACUGACGAAACUUUGAUAAAAAAAACGGCAUGUCAUCCCAUUUACCGAAUAAAAAAUGACAUGUCAUAUGAUAUAUAUUGAUAAAAAUAACAUGUCAUUCCACUUAUCGGUUAAUUGUUAAUAAUUGCUAAAAAAAACUAUUUUACAACUGAAUCUACUCCUCCAAAAUUUAACUUAAAUUUUUGAAGAUCUACUCCUCCAAGCUCCAACUUGAAAUUUUUAUGGUAUAAUAUGUAUAAUUGUAAAUAAUAUGUUGUUAAUAAUUUUUUAUGGUAUAAUAUGGAUAUUUUUUAUGGAUAAUUGUUAAUACUAUGUACCAUUAAUAAUUCAUUUUUUAAUCAAAAAAUGUAUUGGUAAUAACAAAAUAAAAAAAAUUAUGUAUUGAAAAUUUACGUUAAUUUUUGGGAUAAAUUUAUUUUUUUUACCUCAUUUUGAGUUUUAAGGGCAAAAUAGUCAAUUUACCACAAUUCUGUUAACUUUCUAACAGAAGUUAAUAGAAUGGUGGACGGCAGAAGUAUUUUGUCAACUUAGGGUAUACGAGUAAUACACUUGAAAAGUAUUCACACACGUUUGAUACGGGUAUCAUUUAAGGGUAUAUAGCUGAUAAUUUCCCUUAUUUUAAAUAUCAAACUUGUCAACCCUUAGGGGAAACAAGUAUUUAACGGACUUUGUGCGGCUAAUUCUCAUCAUUCGCUACUCUAAAUUUUAUUUUACAGAUUUGUGCAUCAUUUAUAACAUUUAAUUAAAUACACUUAAAUUAUAUAGAUUCAACGGUUCAACCUUCAUAUAUCACAUGAAAAGAAUACUGAAUUUUUAACAUCUCUCAUCAAGAGAUUGUACUGUGCUUACUCAAUUAGAUACUAAGGUGGCGUUUUUUUUUUAACUUAAUGACUUAAAGUGACUUAACUUAAUUAAUUAAGUUAAUUAGAGGUGUUUGUUUUUAUAACUCAAUGAGACUUUGUAGAUAAUUUUGACUUAAUAAAAUAAGCUAAUUUUUUUUUGCUUUUUACUUAAUGGAGAAAUUUGAAUUAAGUCAAUUACUUACUAAUGUAAAAAAUAUUCAUGUUUUAUAAUUUAUUUUUCAUGUCUAUCCCAAAACUCACCUAUAGACAUUUACUCCACAUAAAAAUAUCCAUGUUUUUUCUUUCUUAUAUUAUAUACGAUAAAAUUUAAAAUUUAUGGUAUUUUAUAUAUUAAAAUUCUAAAAUAAUUAUGUAUUCACUUGAAUAUAGUUUUACUUAUAAAUGUUAAAAUAUUGUGGUAUUUAAUAUAUUAUUUAUUUGACAUUCAAAUUUGAUAUGGAUACAAAUGUAAAAGUACAUAUUUUCAGUUUUUUCAGUUGAAAAAAACAAACAACUUAAUACUUAUUUUCCGAGAUUCAGAUGAAAAAAUAAACAUAUUAUUUAGAUUCAGACAUUCAAAUCUAUUCAGAAUUCAGACUAAUUCAGGUCUAUUCAGAUUUCAGAUAAAAAAACAAACGACACCUAAGUUUAUACUCCAACUAAUGUGUUAAUAGUAUUUGAAUAAAAAAUGAUAAAACUUAAUAAUUAAUUAUUGCUUAAGUCAAUUAAAUAGUAUCAUAUCAUUUGUUAAAAAAAAAAAAAAUCUUUGUUGUUUCAAGAUUAUUAAUCCUUUUUCAUUUACUUAUUAUCAUUACUAUCUGCAACAAUCAUAAUGAUUUGCAUCAACAUGUGAUUGUUUUUUUGACUCCAAGAACAGCUUGUAAAUGUAAUUUCUCUUCUUCCCCACUCACCCUUGAAAACCCACUAUUUGUGUACUUCCAAAACGAUUUAUUGCUGACCGCCAAAGACCGAUACUCACUGGACAAAUUCCUAAAAGAAAGAUUCAAAUUCCAAUGUCUUAUACCUAUUUGAUUUGCAGUUCUUGUUAUGCUAAUGACUAGAAUGAGGCAAAGUGUUUUUUAAUUGAGAUGAUGGAUCUAAGGGUGCAGCAUGAUGUUGUGAUUUUCCAUGUUGGUCAUAUAUGAGCUUUGUGAAAAUAGAAAGAUAGAAGAAGCAUGUAGGUUUUUAGAAUCGCAUCAAUGGAUGGGUUUUGCUUGACCGAGGGAACUAUUUGUUUCUGUGGAGAAUAAAGGGUGCAGAAAUGAUGUUGCUAAAUACAACAAGUUGAUAAAUGGGUAAUGCAAGAAUAAGGAAGUAGAGGAAGCGUUAGGCCUUUGUAGCGAAAAGCUUUCUAAAAGAAUUCUCCUAGAAUAUGUUGGGGGGAUGGAGCAGCUGCCCCCAUCGCACCCUAAGCCAACAGACUCAAAAUUGGAUGGGAACUUUUUUCAUAGAUUAUUUCACGAACGCCCGAUUCCAAAUAUGUAACAUAUAACAUCAUGAUUCAUGGGCUUUGUAAAAAUGGGCAAAUGGAUACGGAAGCAAGGCGUACGACGCCCAGUUGUGUCAUGUUUACUAAGCUUAUGCGAAAGAAUGAGACAUCAAAAGUUAUUGAACUUCCUCACUCAAUGGAUAAGAGAAAUGUAAUGCGGGAUGCAUCUAUACUUGCAACUGUUGUGGACUUUCUUUUAAAGAAUGAUAUCCGUUUAAACUCGAUUCCAGAAUUCAAAAGCCAAAAUUGAAUAUUGAUUUAGUAGCAUGUUUUUCUGCCUGCUGAAAAUCGGAUAUGGAGGAUCCGUUUCAUUAUACCAAAUGUGAAGGAGUGUCACGUUGUGAGGGCAAGGUAAAAUCCUCGCCAUCUGGUUCGGUUCACCAAAGAAACUUCCCCAUUAAUUUCUUGAAAAAGUUAAGUUAAAACUGUAAAUGAAAGAAUCAUGAUGAUCUGUUUUGGUUUGUGAGAUGUUAGAAAGAGGUCAUUGUUUAUUAAGUGGAAAUAAAAAUGAGGGAAUGAGAUUCAUUAAUUUGUUUACUUAUAAAUAGAGGAGGAGAAUUGAGAAUUAAAUUUGUUGGCCUCACAUCAAUUUAUGAAUAACUCUUGGAUUUCUAAUUUCUAAGGGAGAUUUGGAAUCUACAUCUCAUUUACAAUCUACCCAAUUGUAAUAAUUUUCAUUUUGUCAUUCUUUUAAAUAUUUAAAAAAUAAAUAAAAAUCGCAUGAGUACUGUGCAAAGAUGGAUUGUUCUUGUUAUUGUUGAUGUUAUUAUUACUAGCACCGAAUUACAUAUUAUUAAAUUAGUUUAAAUAUUACAAAUUAAAUUAUUUUUAAAUGAGUGAUAAAACCUGAUCAUUUAAUAACCAUGGCCAUUUAACAGAUUUAAACAUAAAAUUUCGUGUCAAAUUAUGUUUGAGUAUAAGGAUAAUGUAAGAUAAUUGGUACUUUAAUUUACAUUUAUGUGCNNNNNNNNNNNNNNNNNNNNNNNNNNNNNNNNNNNNNNNNNNNNNNNNNNNNNNNNNNNNNNNNNNNNNNNNNNNNNNNNNNNNNNNNNNNNNNNNNNNNNNNNNNNNNNNNNNNNNNNNNNNNNNNNNNNNNNNNNNNNNNNNNNNNNNNNNNNNNNNNNNNNNNNNNNNNNNNNNNNNNNNNNNNNNNNNNNNNNNNNNNNNNNNNNNNNNNNNNNNNNNNNNNNNNNNNNNNNNNNNNNNNNNNNNNNNNNNNNNNNNNNNNNNNNNNNNNNNNNNNNNNNNNNNNNNNNNNNNNNNNNNNNNNNNNNNNNNNNNNNNNNNNNNNNNNNNNNNNNNNNNNNNNNNNNNNNNNNNNNNNNNNNNNNNNNNNNNNNNNNNNNNNNNNNNNNNNNNNNNNNNNNNNNNNNNNNNNNNNNNNNNNNNNNNNNNNNNNNNNNNNNNNNNNNNNNNNNNNNNNNNNNNNNNNNNNNNNNNNNNNNNNNNNNNNNNNNNNNNNNNNNNNNNNNNNNNNNNNNNNNNNNNNNNNNNNNNNNNNNNNNNNNNNNNNNNNNNNNNNNNNNNNNNNNNNNNNNNNNNNNNNNNNNNNNNNNNNNNNNNNNNNNNNNNNNNNNNNNNNNNNNNNNNNNNNNNNNNNNNNNNNNNNNNNNNNNNNNNNNNNNNNNNNNNNNNNNNNNNNNNNNNNNNNNNNNNNNNNNNNNNNNNNNNNNNNNNNNNNNNNNNNNNNNNNNNNNNNNNNNNNNNNNNNNNNNNNNNNNNNNNNNNNNNNNNNNNNNNNNNNNNNNNNNNNNNNNNNNNNNNNNNNNNNNNNNNNNNNNNNNNNNNNNNNNNNNNNNNNNNNNNNNNNNNNNNNNNNNNNNNNNNNNNNNNNNNNNNNNNNNNNNNNNNNNNNNNNNNNNNNNNNNNNNNNNNNNNNNNNNNNNNNNNNNNNNNNNNNNNNNNNNNNNNNNNNNNNNNNNNNNNNNNNNNNNNNNNNNNNNNNNNNNNNNNNNNNNNNNNNNNNNNNNNNNNNNNNNNNNNNNNNNNNNNNNNNNNNNNNNNNNNNNNNNNNNNNNNNNNNNNNNNNNNNNNNNNNNNNNNNNNNNNNNNNNNNNNNNNNNNNNNNNNNNNNNNNNNNNNNNNNNNNNNNNNNNNNNNNNNNNNNNNNNNNNNNNNNNNNNNNNNNNNNNNNNNNNNNNNNNNNNNNNNNNNNNNNNNNNNNNNNNNNNNNNNNNNNNNNNNNNNNNNNNNNNNNNNNNNNNNNNNNNNNNNNNNNNNNNNNNNNNNNNNNNNNNNNNNNNNNNNNNNNNNNNNNNNNNNNNNNNNNNNNNNNNNNNNNNNNNNNNNNNNNNNNNNNNNNNNNNNNNNNNNNNNNNNNNNNNNNNNNNNNNNNNNNNNNNNNNNNNNNNNNNNNNNNNNNNNNNNNNNNNNNNNNNNNNNNNNNNNNNNNNNNNNNNNNNNNNNNNNNNNNNNNNNNNNNNNNNNNNNNNNNNNNNNNNNNNNNNNNNNNNNNNNNNNNNNNNNNNNNNNNNNNNNNNNNNNNNNNNNNNNNNNNNNNNNNNNNNNNNNNNNNNNNNNNNNNNNNNNNNNNNNNNNNNNNNNNNNNNNNNNNNNNNNNNNNNNNNNNNNNNNNNNNNNNNNNNNNNNNNNNNNNNNNNNNNNNNNNNNNNNNNNNNNNNNNNNNNNNNNNNNNNNNNNNNNNNNNNNNNNNNNNNNNNNNNNNNNNNNNNNNNNNNNNNNNNNNNNNNNNNNNNNNNNNNNNNNNNNNNNNNNNNNNNNNNNNNNNNNNNNNNNNNNNNNNNNNNNNNNNNNNNNNNNNNNNNNNNNNNNNNNNNNNNNNNNNNNNNNNNNNNNNNNNNNNNNNNNNNNNNNNNNNNNNNNNNNNNNNNNNNNNNNNNNNNNNNNNNNNNNNNNNNNNNNNNNNNNNNNNNNNNNNNNNNNNNNNNNNNNNNNNNNNNNNNNNNNNNNNNNNNNNNNNNNNNNNNNNNNNNNNNNNNNNNNNNNNNNNNNNNNNNNNNNNNNNNNNNNNNNNNNNNNNNNNNNNNNNNNNNNNNNNNNNNNNNNNNNNNNNNNNNNNNNNNNNNNNNNNNNNNNNNNNNNNNNNNNNNNNNNNNNNNNNNNNNNNNNNNNNNNNNNNNNNNNNNNNNNNNNNNNNNNNNNNNNNNNNNNNNNNNNNNNNNNNNNNNNNNNNNNNNNNNNNNNNNNNNNNNNNNNNNNNNNNNNNNNNNNNNNNNNNNNNNNNNNNNNNNNNNNNNNNNNNNNNNNNNNNNNNNNNNNNNNNNNNNNNNNNNNNNNNNNNNNNNNNNNNNNNNNNNNNNNNNNNNNNNNNNNNNNNNNNNNNNNNNNNNNNNNNNNNNNNNNNNNNNNNNNNNNNNNNNNNNNNNNNNNNNNNNNNNNNNNNNNNNNNNNNNNNNNNNNNNNNNNNNNNNNNNNNNNNNNNNNNNNNNNNNNNNNNNNNNNNNNNNNNNNNNNNNNNNNNNNNNNNNNNNNNNNNNNNNNNNNNNNNNNNNNNNNNNNNNNNNNNNNNNNNNNNNNNNNNNNNNNNNNNNNNNNNNNNNNNNNNNNNNNNNNNNNNNNNNNNNCUUCCUUCAAUAUUUUGUUUGGUUGUCUUGCUAAGACUAAACAUUAUGAUACUGUCCUUUCACUAUUCAAGAGACUCAAUUCCACUGGGUUGUUUCCGGAUCGUUAUACUUACAAUAUCUUGAUUAACUGCUUUUGCAAAAUGGGUCGAGUUUCUCAUGGUUUUGUUGUUCUUGGGAGAAUCCUCAGGUCUUGUUUUACUCCAGAUGCUGUGACCUUUAAUUCUUUGAUUAAAGGUUUGUGUGUGGAGAGUAGAAUCAUGGAGGCCGCUGCAUUGUUUACAAAACUUAGAGUGUUUGGUUGUGAGCCUGAUGUCAUUACGUACAAUACUUUGAUUAAUGGAUUGUGUCGAACCGGCCAUACAAUUGUUGCUCUAAAUUUAUUUGAAGAGACGGCCAAUGGAAAUAGGAAAUUUGGUGUUGUUUGUAAGCCAGACGCUAUUACAUACAAUACUAUUAUAGAUGGUCUUUGUAAGGAAGGUUUUGUGGACAAGGCCAAGGAACUGUUUCUGCAGAUGAAGGAUAAGAAUAUUAACCCAGAUGUGGUUACUUAUAACUCUUUGAUUCACGGUUUUUGUUACGCUAAUGAUUGGAACGAGGCGAAUUGUUUGCUUAUUGAGAUGAUGGAUCAAGGGGUACAGCCUGAUGUUGUGACUUUCAAUGUGAUCAUGGAUGAGCUCUGCAAGAAUGGGAAGAUGGAGUUGAGCGUGCUUUCAAGCUGUUUGAUGAGAUGCAACGUGAUGGCGUGGCAGCUGAUACCUGGACAUAUAGAACCUUUAUUGAUGGGCUCUGCAAGAAUAGUUAUAUCGUAGAGGCAGUUGAACUAUUUCGCACUUUGAGAAUUCUCAAGUGUGAACUUGAUAUUCGAGCCUACAACUGCCUCAUUGAUGGAUUAUGUAAAUCCGGCAGACUCGAAAUUGCAUGGGAACUAUUUUGUAGUUUGCCUCGUGGAGUCCUAAUAGCAGAUGUUGUAACCUAUAACAUCAUGAUCCAUGGGCUUUGUAACGAUGGGAAAAUGGACAAGGCGCAUGAUUUGUUUCUUGAUAUGGAAGCAAAAGGUGUAGCACCCAAUUGUGUCACAUUUAACACGCUGAUGCUAAGUUGCAUCCGCAAUAAUGAGACAUCAAAAGUUGUUGAACUCCUUCACAGAAUGGAUGAGAGAAAUGUAAUACCAGAUGCAUCUACACUUUCAAUUGUUGUGGACUUACUUGUAAAGAAUGAAAUUAGCUUAAACUCGAUUCCACAAUUCAAGAGUCAAAGUUAAAGUGAGUUUAUAUUGAUUUAGUCGCAUGUUUCUUCUGCCUGAAAACCCGAUCUGGAGGAUCCCAUUCUUAUUACAACAUGUAAAGGAGCGUUGUCUAAUGUUGGCAUGUUCCUAGGUUCUGUCCAUGGAUUCUGUUUGCAGACAUGGCUAACUUCUUGUCCAACAGAUAAGUUUUAAAGUCUUUCAACUUUAUGUUGUAAAAUAACAUUUUUAUUAUUCAAUUCAUGAGUUUUCCUUCUGUAACACAUCCUUCUCAUUAGCUGGAAGUGCAAAUUUUUUAGGCUUUUCCUGUAUGGCCUCUUUUUCUUCUCUAAAUAAAAUGGCAUUUUGUUUCCCUCCUGUGAGGGUACAACGUUUAUGUUCAAACUUUCUGUUAGUUAAGUUGGUUGUCUUUGAUAUAGGGAACUUCCAGUUGAACUGAUUUGUAAUUCGAGUAUAUGAGAUUACCAACUGUAUUGGGAAUUGAUGCCAAAUUAAUUAUGUCAUCAGGUUUUUCAAUCAGCGUUCAUCAUUUAUUUCUAUUAACAAUUAAUAGCACAGCUUGUCUUCUCAGCUUCAUUGAUUCCUCUAAAAAAUAAUCUUGUAAAGACAAUUUUUUUUUUUUUUUUUGGCAUGGUAAAUGCUAGAUAGUUUGUGGUCUGAAUGAUACUACACAUCUAAGUAAUUGCCCAAAUUGCCAUGUAACAAGGAGUGUUGCAUAGUGAUGUCAUGCUCACAGGUACCACUCAUCAACAUGGCCAACGCUUUCGAUGCAGUCAUUAUUAUGGAAAUUCAAGAGUUCUCCUCCUAAGAGGUCUCUCUCUCGUUCUCUUAAUUUCCUUAUUCUGUUUUGGAAGUAAUGUAAUGGGAAAAUAGCAUUUAAUUUCCUUGUGUCUGACAUUUUCUUCUAUAAAUGCUAUAAAAUAUCUUUUUUUUUCAUCAUUGAUAUGUAUUACACAAUCAGAAGACUACUCGUAUUUAUAUGAAACAUCUACUUUAUGGCACAGUUCAGAUUUUUAUCCUUAUAAAUAUUGGAGGGAUAUCUUUAUGUUUCUUCUGUGAUAACGUUUCUGCGUGCUGCAACCUUUUUAUUAGAUUGAUAGAAUGUGAAUACACGGAAAUUCUGUUUGAUAAUCUCGGCAAACCAGGAUUAAUAUGAAAUGGAGCGUCAUCAACAAAUACUUAGCAUAUUGCUGACUAUGAUUUGUUCUCCUCCCCUCAUUCUUUUUGUGAGUAGAAUUGGAUUGUGAAACUUGUUAUGUCAGCACAAGUGUUCUUACAAGUUGAUGUAAAAUACACUGACUUGAAAUAAUGGCAUGGUAAUUGGUAUAGAUAAGCUAGCAUGAGUAUAUUUUGUCACCAAUUUCGCCAACCGCGUCUGGGUGUGGAAAUUAUAUUGCAUUUCUAAUGUCAUUUGAAAGAAAAACUUGCAAAAUUUGUAAUUUGUUAAAUCUGAACCGUGGUUCACAUCUACUCUUCCCGAACUUGAGUCAUAUGAUUCAAUUUUUUAGUGGGCAUGGCGAGAUAGAUUUCUACCAAGCCCAACCCAUUUAUCUACCCUUUUGUAAUUUUCUAUCAUGCAUAUAUUUAUAUUUUUGUAUAGUUAAUAUCUAAUUAUUUAUGUAUUUUUAUCGAAUAACUACUAAUUAUAUUUUUCUAAAAAAUCGGCAUGAAAAGUUCAACUUAAUAUUGAAUUAAAUUUUGAUAAGUAUAUGUCAAAUGUUUGGAAUUCUUUUUCUAGUCUUCAUGAUUGAUUAAUUGGAAAAUAAAUGUGUAUGUAUUAAAAUGGUAUUGGAUAAACAUGCCCCUAUCACCCAAGUUUUCCUUUGGAUAAUUUCCUAACUUGCAAGUUGAUAUCGAUGUUUAAAAAGAACCAAAAAAAAAAAAAAAUACAUUGAAAUCUUUAUAAAUUAUUUCUUGACCUAAUAGUUGACACUUUCUCGCCUUAUUCUUGAGGUUGAAGGUUUGAAUUUUCUUAUGUGGAUUUUAGGUGAACUACAGAAAAACAGCUUAUAUGAGACAUUUUCAAAAUAAGUAUGAAUGUGGUACUUAUUCAUCAGAUGGACAUAUUAAUGACGUGAUAAAUUUAUAAUCCGCAAAAUUGUGGAUCAGAUAUAAAUUAAUGUCCAAUCCCUAAAAUCCGAUCCUCGAACACCUCUAUUACUUAGAGGCUCCCUUCUUCCAAAUUCAUAAUCUUCAACAUUUCUCCAACCAAUCAAGCAAGGCUAGAGAUAGGUAACAUACAUUUUGAUGUACAUUUGGCUUUUGUAUCAUUUACUUCACUAGUGAUCCAUUAAAUGGAUCCACCAUUAACGUAAAUGCUAGUUUAACUAUUGACAGUGGAGCAAGUAUGUAUGUGGUCCCUACGCACAAGCAUACACGCCCAUUAAAGCAUUACUCUCCUCAUCAUUGGAUAUGAAUUUUGUGAACUAUAUAUCUUUUUGGGGGUUUCAUUUAUCUUUCCGGUCUCUUAUGAUCAUUCACGGCUCCUGCUGCUGCUUCUUAUUGGCUCUUUGACAUCCUCUGUCUUGUUCUUGCUGUGUGUGUCAGCCACUAGCAACUGCUUCAAGCAAUGUGAGUUUGUUGCGUGAGCUUCCGUUUUGGUUAUUUUCAAUUAUUAUUUUUGUUGAUGGGUUUGUGAUUUUGUGCUGUAUUAUUACAGGAUUACACUGUUUAUAUGGAAGAGAGAAGAUAUGAUGAGCCUCAGCUGGUUCAGGAUUCGCACCAUCAGAUUCUUUCGGAUAUUCUUGGAAGGUUUAUAUUUCAAUCUCUUUAGCCGAAUUUACCUAUUAUAUUUUUAUCAUAUAAACGUUAUGCAAAAUGUUUAUGUUAAUGUAUGGCGAAAAUUGAAAAAUGGAAAAUAAAAAUAUUUGUGCUGCUUUCACUAUUUAUCUAUGUUAAUCUCUUUGAUAAAAUGAAGUGGAUGUCAUUAUUUCCAUGCAUCAGUAAUUACAAUCCAUAUUAUGCUCUUGCUAGUCUGUGCUCCAUUUGAACAUCGCAACGAACUUAUUUACUUACAUAUAUUUUGUGCUUUCUGGUUGGAAAUUGGAAGUUUUAACCAAUUUCUGAUCAGAAACAGCCCUUUUGAGUGCUAUGGCAGAAACCGCAGACGCGGCCUAACCUUCAUUUUUAAUUUGUAUCAAUUGGUAGUUUUUUAUCAUAUAAACGUUAUGCAAAACGUUUAUGUUAAUGUAUGGUGAAAAUUGAAAAAUGGAAAAUAAAAAUAUUUGUACUGCUUUCACUAUUUAUCUAUGUUAAUCUCUUUGAUAAAAUGAAGUGGAUGUCAUUAUUUCCAUGCAUCAGUAAUUACAAUCCAUAUUGUGCUCUUGCUAGUCUGUGCUCCAUUUGAACAUCGCAACGAACUUAUUUACUUACAUAUUUUUUGUGCUUUCUGGUUGGAAAUUGGAAGUUUUAACCAAUUUCUGAUCAGAAACAGCCCUUUUGAGUGCUAUGGCAGAAACCGCAGACGUGACCUAACCUUCAUUUUUAAUUUGUAUCAAUUGGUAGUUUUUUAUAACUCUCUCUUUUCCCCUCUAUCAAUAAUGAAUGGUAUUCGCUAGAGAAACCGUAAGGGGACUAAUCAUUGUGAAAAGCACUAGGUGAUAACUAGCAGUUUCAAUUUGACAGCAAAGAAGCUGCUAAGGAAUCANNNNNNNNNNNNNNNNNNNNNNNNNNNNNNNNNNNNNNNNNNNNNNNNNNNNNNNNNNNNNNNNNNNNNNNNNNNNNNNNNNNNNNNNNNNNNNNNNNNNNNNNNNNNNNNNNNNNNNNNNNNNNNNNNNNNNNNNNNNNNNNNNNNNNNNNNNNNNNNNNNNNNNNNNNNNNNNNNNNNNNNNNNNNNNNNNNNNNNNNNNNNNNNNNNNNNNNNNNNNNNNNNNNNNNNNNNNNNNNNNNNNNNNNNNNNNNNNNNNNNNNNNNNNNNNNNNNNNNNNNNNNNNNNNNNNNNNNNNNNNNNNNNNNNNNNNNNNNNNNNNNNNNNNNNNNNNNNNNNNNNNNNNNNNNNNNNNNNNNNNNNNNNNNNNNNNNNNNNNNNNNNNNNNNNNNNNNNNNNNNNNNNNNNNNNNNNNNNNNNNNNNNNNNNNNNNNNNNNNNNNNNNNNNNNNNNNNNNNNNNNNNNNNNNNNNNNNNNNNNNNNNNNNNNNNNNNNNNNNNNNNNNNNNNNNNNNNNNNNNNNNNNNNNNNNNNNNNNNNNNNNNNNNNNNNNNNNNNNNNNNNNNNNNNNNNNNNNNNNNNNNNNNNNNNNNNNNNNNNNNNNNNNNNNNNNNNNNNNNNNNNNNNNNNNNNNNNNNNNNNNNNNNNNNNNNNNNNNNNNNNNNNNNNNNNNNNNNNNNNNNNNNNNNNNNNNNNNNNNNNNNNNNNNNNNNNNNNNNNNNNNNNNNNNNNNNNNNNNNNNNNNNNNNNNNNNNNNNNNNNNNNGGGGGGGGGGGGGAGCGCAUUAUCCAAACACCUAUUUCGAGCAUGAAAAUUAACCCCAAUGACAAAAUUAAAUCCACCCGUUAACCUCAGUGUUAUAUUAGUAUCACAACAAAAAUAGAACAUACAAUCAACUAAGAAAGCUCAUAAAAGACAUAUAAAGAACUCAACAUGCUAUGAAGCAUGAUCUAAGAAAAUGAAACCAACCAAAUGGAGUUCGACAAACUUACAUACAUCUAAGAAAUUUAACUGAUAAAUAAAAAAGAAAACUAAAGCAUCAUGGUUGUUGUAAUAUGACCUAACCAAAUAACUUAUAUAAAACAGUAGUCCUAAUACUUCAUACAACAACCAAAACUAAGGCCAGCUUUUCUCCAUUAAUUUAUCUUGCAGAAACAGAAGUUAUCCCUAGCUGUCUAGCAUUACCUGAUACCAGCCCCAGUUCUUAUUUACCGACUUUAUACAAUAGGCUUUCCAUUAGUGAGCAAGAAAUGGUCCAUGUUAAAAGCUCAAUUGUUCAUACAAGUAAACAAUAAAGAACGAAUGAUAUGGGCCCCAAAACUUCAUAAUGAACAUAUUAGUAUAUAACAGACUCAUUUAAUUCUCUGAAUAUGUAAUCACCCAAAACCACUUCAUUUCUUGAAUUUUCUCAAAUAACACAAACAGGUCAAGUUCACAGUCAUCAAGAACAAUGAUGGAACCUGCCAACACCUCCCACCCACACAUAUUUUUAAAUUACGUGCGCAUUCCGCUCAAAAUUUGAGAAAACAUAAAAGUAAAAGAUGCAACAUUGUGACAUUUAUCAGACCAUGCAUCCACUACUUAAUUUCCAGUUUGAGUUUCUAUGUUUAAUAUUAAGAUGCAUUAUGCAACCACUGAAAGAUCAAUCAUAAAAACAAUGUUCAACGGUCAGGUUAACAACAAAUACUGUAGAUUGUCUCAUUAUUCAACAAUGAUUUAAUAAUUAUUAAUCAAUUGGGACCCAAAAAUACUAACAGCUGCACUAAUUUCAGCUUAGAACACGAGAUUGAAACUUUCCACAAUCAAGCAAUCAAACAACACACGGGAUUCAAAAAAGUAAAAGCCUCAAUCACUGUAUUUCCUACAAUUUCUUGCUAUCUAAAGAGAUUUUAUAAUAGCACUCACCUAUCAUCAAGUUUCUUAAGCUCGUCUUCGAUCUUCGUACGCAUCGAAUCAAGAACGCUUUGAUCCAUCUCCAGCACAGACUCAGCCACUAGGGUUUCAUAAAACGAGGCCAUGUCUACAGAAAAAAAGAGCAACAAUUAAAAUUGAAAAAAAAAAAUAGAGCAUUACUCGGAAGAAAUAAGUAUGCGAAUCCGGCGAGUUAGGUACCGUGGGCUUUGACCAUUGAGAAGACCUCCCCUUUGAGACCAACCUUCUCGAUGUCUUGAACGUCUGGGUGCGUAAGAAGGAAACGCUUGUGAGCGAGUACGAGAUGCGCCUGCUGAGUUCCUUCGCUGUCCAUGGCUAAUUCGGCUGCUGAUGACUCACUGAGAUACGUUCCGAGUUGGUUCUUUGCUUGAGAAAGGAGCUAGCGCAGUAUACAGAGUCGCCGUGACGAUUUACAAAUAAUUUAUGCCCGGUAUUUUCUUUUAUAUGAAUGUUAAUAUAUGCACCCUCUUCUUUUCAAAAAGAAAAAAAAUAUAUGCACCCCAUUAGUCUGAUAAAUCCCCCUUGCAGACCCUUACAUGGGCCCUCGUUGGGCUCGUGAACAAUUAUGGGCUCGUAGACGAGGUUCUAAAAUCAUCUGUCCAUUUUUUUUUUAAAUUUUAGAAACAGAAAAACAGUUCAAUAAUUUAUGUAGAAAAUUUAAAGAAAUAAUCAACAUUUGAGGUUUAUAUAUAAAUUUAACCAACUUUUCUAUCAUCCUUACUUUUUUUUAUAACCAAAGACAUUUAUUGUUCGAGAUUAAGGGAGAUAAUAAGUUGGUUAAAAUUUACAAGCCGCCCCCAAGAUUUAGCUACUGACGGAGAGUAAUAUUAUAGUAAGAGAGUAUUUUACUUCACUUCACUGGAGUAAAAGAGGUAAAGACACUUAUUUUAAUAUAUUAUAAAAAUACUUAUUUUUAUAUUUUAAUUUAUUUUAAAAAUUAUUUAGGUCGUGUUUUGAAUUGAAUUGUUAUAUUUUUUUAAUUUAUCCAUAAAAAUUGUAAUUAUAAAACAAAAGUUAAUAAUAUUUAAUAAAUAUAAUUUUUAAAUCAUAAUUUUAAUAAAAUUAUAGAUUUUUUGUCAAACAAAUAAAAAAUCACAUCAACAUAACUUUUAAGAUAUAAUAAUUAAUAUUUAUCAAAUACUUUAAUUUUGUAACUUUUAAAUUAUAAUUAGUCAAUUCCAAUCUCAAACAAGACCUAAAAUAAGUGAUUCAGAUAUUAUAAAAUUACUAUUUGAUGAAAAUUCCCCAUAUUAUAUAAAAUGACCAAAUAUAUAUUUGAAGAAUGAUCAAAUAUUCUUUAAUACGUAAAAUCCACGUGUUAUUUGAGAUGAAAGCCUUCUGGGCUUCCAAUUCUAUAUUUCUAUGGUGAGUUAUUGUUAGUGAGUAUAAUCUAUUAAAUUUAAUGAAUAAAUAAUAAAUCACAUCGAAUUCUGAGCCGUCAGAGGAAAUAUGCCGGAGACACUCUCGUGAGUCGUGUUUCCUGCUCUCAGUCGUGGGUGUUGAAAAUUUUCCUUCAAACUACUUUCUUCCGAGAAAAUAAUUAUAAUUUUUUUUAAAGUAAUGGGGAAACGAAAGCGCGGUGAUGCUAACAAUCCGAUAGAUAUUGUCUCUUCAACUCCUGGUAAAUCGUUCUUUUUUGUGUGCUUUAAUUUAUUCUUCCUUGAAUUGUCUCUCUUUUGUUUGGUCGCUGAGAAAACGCGGGAGAAAAUAUGGAAAGUUUUGAAUUUAAUAAUGUAGAUUGGUCUAGACAGUCGAUAGUGUUGUUUAUGAGGGUCGGUUGGUUUUCAUUUGGUUACGAUAUGUGAAUUUUUGUUUGUUUACUUCAAUAAUUUUGGACAAUCUUAGGUGAUAAUGAUAGAAACAGAUGCAUUUCCCAAUUUUUUUUUUAAUCCUAGAAAAUAAAAAUCUUUCUUUAUUUUGCUUUGCAAGAUGAAAUUGGGAUCCUGGACCAGUUUUAGAGUUAAUUAUUAUACUUCACAGAACUUGAUAGAACUUCGAUGGCUCAUGGCUUCAUAUAGUUUCUUUAGCCUAUCGUUUUGAAUGAUUAAGCUAACUGCUUCAUUCCAACUUAUUAAUAUGUUUAUAGUAGUACAGCCCGAGUGAAGUUUCCUAAAAUUGUCCGAAGAGUCACGCCAUUGUCUUAUGUUGAGUUCGCCUGUAUUGCAAAUUCUGAACAACAAGUAGAGCAACUUAAUUCAUUUUAUGCAUGCAUAUAUAUUUGAAUUGUUUAGAAAUUAUAUUAGGUAAUUGAUAAAGAAGAUUAAUGGGUUAAUGUUCAAUGUUGUUGCAGAGGAUCCUGGUCAUUUGUCAAAGCAUCGGACAUGUUGGCUGCAUACAGUAGCAUUUUUGCAUGCUCGAAAGAUGAAGAUAUCUAAACAGAAGAUAAGAAACUUUGAAUUGACUGCCCCAUGUUUUCUAGGUACUUUUUCUUGUCGUAGACGAUCAAAGAGAAGAGUUAAGUGCAAGAAUACAAGCCUCAUUAAGGGCAAGAAUUCAAGUUCAGUUAAGUGCAAGGAUAUGAUCACUAAACGAAAGAAGAAUAAGCUAGAUUCUGGAAAAUUUGAACACCUUUUGGAGUAAGCCCUAGUUUCUGCAAUGUAUUUUGUAGCCUGUAACUUGCCCUUACACUGAAUGCAUGUACAAAUUUGCAGUAAUUUGUGGAGGAGCUUCUCUGAGGAUAAGAAGGCUGGCUUUACAUAUCUCGACUCUUUAUGGUUUGACUUGUAUAGGAAACCAUCCAGCAAAGCAAAGGUUUUGACAUGGAUCAAGAGGAAGCAUAUUUUUUCAAAGAAAUAUGUCCUUGUUCCAAUAGUUUGCUGGUGUGUAUUUUUUUUCACCUUGAAAACUGAUUGUCGGAUUCCUUGUCAGUGCAUGGAAUUAUAUAAUCUUAAAAUGCUAUUUUUAGGAGACACUGGAACCUCUUAAUCUUAUGCAACUUUGGCGGGAGUUUCGAAUCAAAAACAAGAACACCCUGCAUGCUUUUGCUUGAUUCACUUGAAAUGUCAAAUCCUUGGCGGUUUGAACCAGAUAUAAGAAAGUAUGUGACUCUUUAUUUCUUUGGUGUGUUUGUGUGUCUGUGUACCAGCAUUAUUGUAUCUGUUUAUUGCACAAGUUGAGUGUUCAACCUGCGUUCUGGGUUUUGAAGGUUUGUGAUGGACAUAUACAAAGCAGAGGAUAGACCUGAAACCAAGGAGUUGAUAUCUCGAAUUCCAUUAUUGGUGCCUAAGGUAACCAUCAUAAGAGCUAUUAAUUAAUUUUACAUAACACCCUCUGAAUUUGCACCUGUAAAUACUGUACUUGUUUUAGGUGCCACAGCAAAGAAAUGGUGAAGAAUGUGGAAACUUUGUUCUCUACUUCAUUAAUCUGUUUGUAGAGGGUGCUCCAGAGAAUUUUAACCUUGAGGACUAUCCAUACUUUGUAAGUUUUCUUGUUUGUGUCAUGUUUGUCACCUGCAGGAUUGUUCUUAUGUAUUAGUGACCGAGUUCCUCAUCUCUUCAAUACACUGCAGAUGGAAAAGAAUUGGUUUACUGCAGAAGACCUGGAUUGCUUUUGUGAGAGACUCAACUCCUCUGAAAACUGAUUUGCAUUAGUUUCGCUAGAUGCAAUGUACGAUUUGCAUUAGUUUCGCUAGAUGCAAUAUAUGUAAGUUCUUUAACAUAUUUGUAUACGUAGGGAUUAGGUCUCUGAGGUUUAUUUUGAAACAUUAUGAUUUAUAAGGUUAUGAUUUAGGCAUGGAGCUGAAGCAUAUAUUAGCUGCAAUCUCUAGGAUGGCAGAUGACGAUGUCUUGAUCAAUUAAAGGCAUUUUUUACUGUCUCGGCUUGCUAUUAUAUUGUUAGGCAAGAUUCUCGGUAUUGAGUUACUCGAGCUCUUCACAACAGCAUAUUCUAGUCUUCACCCAAUACUUAGAUAUAUAAACUAAUUUGACUUGCAGAGAACCUGUUGCUCUCACAACUCUGCUUUGAGCUCAUAACUCAGCUCCGCAGUUCUGCUUAUAUCCAAGACAUUGAUCCAAAUAAAAGAAUCAGAUCUGAAAUAUUGAACUAGGUUGACAUGCUGCAACUUGGAAACAGAAAAACGUUGAAGGCGGUAAAACCACCUGUAGAAUUUUCUGCAUCACUGAAACCAACAUAUGUAUUAGGGAUAUUUUGUUCUGGACCUUACAAGGUGCUCCUUCCUUGAAGGAACUGAGAAGCUAGUGCACUUUUUUUUUGUGUGGAAAUCCAGCAUGGAGAUCAGGAGAUGAAAAAUGUAAAUUUAGAGAAAUUGGAAAUAAAAAACAACAAACAACAGCAGUAUUUACUGGCAACAAUUGUAAGCCGCAUAAAGCAAAACAAGCCAAUCAUUUCAUACAUCAUAUGCUCAAAGCUUUGCUCAAAAUGGUAGAAAACAAUCUAGCAGCUAAAGUUCCAUCAUCAUAAGCGCAUUUGUACGCAUACACUAGGACAAAUGGCUCAACUUGUCAGUGCUAUUAACAAUGUGAAACUACACUAACACAUCGAAACAUGAUUUAGGCUUAUCAAUAUCAGUGCAAGUCAGCAAAGUGUGGUCGGUAACAAAAAUACAUUCUUUUCUUUACACCUAAAUCUGUAAUCAGAAGCUGAUUCCUCAAAAAGUAUUUUCAGUGUGUUGUUAUCAGGAGUUAGCAAUAGGGAAUGUCACCAUCUGGAACCUCCCAGUUAUCAUCUUCAUCAUCGUCCCCCUCCUUCUUAGGAGUUUUCUGUUUCACUGGAGAUUUUGGCUUUGGUCGUCUGACAUGAACAGAAUAAAUCAAUAGCAAGCAUGUAGUUCUUUGAAAAGAACAAAAAACAUAAAACGAAAAUGCAUAUGAGAGUGCCAACAAACAUGAUCAGCGACAUUUAAACAAAGCAAAAUUGGAGGAGGUACUGGCAUGAUUUAUAGGCCAAGUAUCAAGAUGGAGACUUUUAAUUAAUUUUUGGAAUCUUUAAAAUAAGAAAACAUAUUAGCAUAAAAGAUAUUAGAAUUGUAUAAUGAAAACAACAGAUGCCAGCAAAACACACACUGACCGUUUUCCCUGAGAGAUUUUAAGUUUGAAACUCAGCAUUGCUUCCAAUCAGUACAUGAAAAUUCAGCUACUCUUCUACCAUGAAACAAACCAUUUGAACUAUGCUUCCAAAUAUCAUCAGCACAUCUUUAGCAACCACCAAUGGGUUGCUAUGUUGUUAUUGUAAUGGGAAGCAUAACAUAAGGUACUUGAUGAUAUCUAAAUAGAUCCCAGUGGACGGCAUUUAUAUUGAUUCAGCAUCAAAACCUAGGAAAAAACUAAAUGUGAUCGUGUACUAGUAACUAAAUUAAGAAACUGAAUCAUCAGCAGUUGUUCUUCAACAAAUAUUAACAGAAGCCCAAACUGAAUACCUUUUUCGGUUCCUUUGAGCAGCGGAUCUCGCUUUACGCUUCCUCUUCUCCUGACUGCUCUCAAAAAAUCUUCUUCUCUUGCACUCUUGUAUAAUACCAGCUCUCAGCACCGCACUCCUAAACCGCCUCGCUAUCUUCUCCUCGGGCUAGUCGUCGGCGACUUCUAUCUGCACGUUGAAGAAAUAUAUGGUGUCUGUUGGAGCUGGACGGGGCUGCUGGCUGCUGCUGUGAGUGCUGUCGUCGUGGGCCACAAAACUCAAAAAGUGAGAAGAGGGAGCAAGGAGGGGGAGGGAGUUAGACGGUGAGACCGGCUGGUGUCUGUUGGAGCUGAACGGGGCUGCUGUGGCUGCUGCUGAAGUGCUGAUGUCGUCGGCCACAGUUCUCAGAAAGUGAGAACUAAGAAGAGGGAGCAAGGAGGGGGAGGCCGGGAGGUAGACAGGGAGUGAGAGAUUUUUGUUUAGGGAUUUUUAGGGAUUUUUUGGUUUAAUUAAUGUAUAUAUAUUUUUUAUUUAAAAGCUAAAUUUAAAAAAAAAAAAAAGCUUCAACCCGAACGGGUUGAAAAUUCGGUUCGGGUUGAACCCGAACCGAAAUUUAACCCGAACGGGUUGAAGCUUUGAAUCCGUUCGGGUUUCACUGGUUAAUCCAAACCGAACCGAACCCGAAAUAAAUUUCGGGUUCGGUUUGGUUCGGGUUAACCCGAACCGAACGCCCACCCUCACGCUUCACUCUCUUCUUUGGUUCUUCUCCAAUUUUCACCCUUAAAUCUUCACAGCUUUCUUCUUUUUAAGUCUUCACUCUUCAGUUUUCACAAAUCGAUUUCUCACACAAUCGGGUUUCACAGAUCGAGUUUCAGUCACAAAAGCAAACCGAUGGUCACUCAAAGACGCAGCGCAAGAACCGAAGAUCAUUUGCAGACACAGCCACCGGAUCCGUGGUUCCGUCCAUCACCAAGUUUCUCACCUCCAAGCUCCACUUCAACCCAGCAACCUGACUUCUCCAACCUGCAACCUGAGCCUUGUGUUUUGAAAUUUUGAUGGUUUUUCUUGAUGUUGUGAUUAUUAUCAUAUAUAAAUUGUAAAAUGUUAAUGUUCACCAGCUAAUGAUAAAGAAAAUCAGUGAUAAAGAAAGUUGUAAUGUAUUUUUUUUUCCAAUGAUGGGCAUAAAUUUUUUCAUUUUUCAGUCCAAACUGAUUUUAAUCCGAAUCCGAUCCGAACCGAACUCAACCCGAUUUUUUGACCCGGAUCGGAUUACAAGUUCGGAUUGAAUUCGGAUGGAUUUCUGCCCAACCCGACUAACCCGAAAUCCGAUCGGGUCGAACCAAACCCGAUCCGAAUCCGAUUUUGCCCAGCUCUACUUUUAGAACUAUCAGAGCUCGUUCAAAAUGUCACGGCCCACUUGAUAAAAUUCUCAUCUUAUCAACUUCAAAGGCAAAUUUAAAAAAAUCUUACUCCCCAAAUUUUCAAUUUCACCUAUUCUGCAUACUUGUUGUAAUGCUCACUUAAGACCCUCUCUAGUAACUCCUCUUAGAUGUAAGACUUUGCCCAGCAGACAACCCUCAACUAACUCUCUCGCAUUCCCUUCCAUGACAUUACCAACAACUACUUUACUUUCUUUUCCUUCUUCUAAUGUAAUAACUUUACACUUGCGGAUUAGUUCUUCUGUUUCCAUGAGGCACUAAAAUAUAAAUCCACUAUGAUAACUCUUGAGUAUCUACCACUUCCUCUGUAAUUAAGACUCAACAACUUAGAUGAAAAACUUAAAACUAAAAGAGACACCCAACUCGUGAGCGACUUUCGCAAUCUUAUAGGCUACUACCCUUUCAUUCUAGAUUCUCACUCAAAGAGAGAGAACCUGUGAAGAAAGACUUCUACAGGUAGGAGAGCACUUACACAGUAGAUUAUUUAUAUUUCUUUGGACUGACUUUUUUACUUUAUUAAAGACAAAAACAACAUAAACAAAGACAGAGGAUUAACAAAAGCAUCAAUUGCCAAAGAGUAGAGAGUAUUAUUAUAUUUUAGGAACUUAGGUUAUGACCAACUUAAAAGAAGCAGUUAGGGCUUGUUCGGUACCGUUUUAAAAGCCUUAUUUUCAUUUUUGUUUUGGGAGUAUAAAUAUAAUACAUAUUCAGCGGGUUGAAUCCAAAAAAAUAAAUUAUAAAACAAAUAAUUGAUAUUCACUUUUACAGUUAUAAAAUUAAGAACCUGUUGAACAUGUUCUCAAACAAAUUACAAAUUAAAUUAAAAAAAUAAACCCCAAAACAAAAUCUAAAAAGUUAUCUUUCUCUCCCAAAAUCUUAUCCCCUCCCUCUCGUUAUCUCUUCACAACUCUUCCUUCUUCAUGGUUGAUACUUCUCCUUUAACCACAACCCACCUGAACUGUGCACCGAUCUCUCUCUCCCCUUCCCCUUUAUCUAGGUCUACUUCAAUGUUCUCUUCCUCUCGGUGGCUGUUACUUGUUCAUCAACCGCAAUCCAUCGUCGCAAGGUACUACGUCGGAAUAUUUGACCAAAAACAUGUCAGGACAAAGUGAUGUCUAUCAUGGUUUAUUGCUGCAAGUGCAUUAUUUUCUUUGUACUAAAGUGAAUCUUUGAUGUAUUUAUUAAAUUUGGUGGAGCAAUCUUAGUUAAUUUUGAUGAUUUAUAUAUGCAUUUAAUUUCAUUUUUAAUAAUUCAUGUGCAGGAAAUAUGGAUUCUUGGCUUUGCUUGGACUGAUGGUUUGCGCAAUUUCAUUUGGAAUCAAUCAGCUUCGAGGAUAAACACUUGAAGUUCAUCCUUUCUUGUGCAUGGGACUUGCUUUUCUUCCAUCCAACUUUUUUGUUCUCUUUUUCUAUGGUAGCAGUUUUAUGUUUUGUGUUGGUGGGAAACUUCAUGCUGCAAUUUUGUCAAACUCUGUUGACAUACCCUAAUCAGUAAUGACUUUGCUGCAUGGCGAAAGCAUAAAUCUUGUCAUUAGAGCUUGUUUCCAUAAAAUAAGUGUAAUUUGAAAGUACAUUGUACACUAUUGAAUUUAAAUUAUCCCCAACAAGUGUUGAUGCAUGAUGUCUAUCGUGUAAUUUUUUUUAUAAUUAUUUUGUUUAAAUUAUAUGUGUUGUAAUAUAUAACUUAAUUAUAGUGUAAAAACAAUGGCAAUGUAAUUUUUUGUAUUAAUGCUAAUACUAAAACUUUAUCAUCAUGCAAUUUUUUAUAAUUAUUUUAUUUAAAUUAUUUAUGAUAUGUUUGCGUAUUAAUUAAAUAAACAAUUAGUUUUUACUAAAAACUAUGACUUACAUGUUUAGUAAAAACUGUUCAUGAAAAUAGUACUACAGAACACAUUUUCUCUGAUUUUAUCUUUUUCAAUUGUUUUUAUCAAACACAUGUUACUGUUUUCAAUUUUAAAAUACAAGAUAUAGAAAAUGAUAUCAGAUGCCUAUUUAAUUCAAAAUGCUGCAACUGCAAAACACUAUUUUUAUUCUCAUUUUUGUUUUCAGAAAAUACUAAUUCAGAAACAAUAACAAACAAGAACUUAGUUUUAGUACGAAUAAUGUUGUGUUAGUUUUACAGGCUUAUAUGCACCCUUAGAUUUAUUAGAAGUAUCAACCCAACCCCCUAGUUACCGUUGACUGAUAUCUAACCCGUUGACUGAUGUUAACUCUUGAAAGUAACUAUAACAUCUAUAUUGUAAUCUCACUUUAUUAACUAAUAAAUUUUAAAAAUAUAAACAGAUCAAUAACAACAAAAUAAUUAAAGUUGAAAUCCAAGAAAUUACCUAAAAAUCAUACCUGAAAACCAAAAUGCAUAAAAUUUCAUUAAUUUAAGUUGUGAGAAUGAGUAGUCCACAUUAUAUGAUGAAUGAACAACUUCUAUCAUUUUACCAAGUUAUUAAUGUUAUGUUUACUUACUGGAGUGGACAUGAGAAGUAUAGAUUCCUCUCACUCUAAAGUUUACUUGCAUAUUCUAAGAGGUGUGGGAAUCCCACUCCGUUGAUCCCACCCAAUUUUGAAGUAGUGAGUGUAAUUCCCACUCCCACAACUUUCUUUUUUACUUUUCUUUUAUUAAAUUUAAUACAAUCAUAUUUAGUAAAAUAAAACAAAUAACAUCAUAUUUAUUUAAUAAAUAUUAUUAUUUUAUUUUAUAAAAUUCUAUUUAUUAAAAAGAAUAAUAUUAAUCUUAUUUAGAUAAAAUUAUUAUUAUAUUUAUUUAAAAAUAAUAGUAUUAUAUUUAUUUAAUAUUAAUAAUUAAUAAUAAUAAAUAAUCUCAAGAUUUCCACUAUAAUCUAAAAUGUAAACACUGUCUAAAACGUCAAAUAAAAUUCUUAAUUAAGUAAACCAUAAGGUGAUUACGUAUAAAAAAAAUUAAUAAUAUUAAUUUUCAUAAGAAUUUAUGCUUGUAGUAUUACUUCACUUUUUUAUUAACCGUUGCUUCAACUUAUGGUAGAUAUUAAGAGAACAAUAAUAAUAGAGCUAUAAAUGUUUGCGUACUAUCAAUCAACUUAACAGUAUAAUUACCAACAAAUCCUUAAUACCAUAAAUAAUUAAAUUAUUGGGGUUUUAAAAUGACUCUCUAGACUUUGCAUGAUUUCUUUAUAUGUAGGUGCCAUGGUUCCCAUAAGUAAUAUCAGCCACACUUUUUGUUAUUGUUAAAAAAAUUUUAUAGGUACAAUUUGUGAAUUUGUACAAAAUGUGGUAUUAUACAUUUGAAGCAUGAACUGACAAGACAAUGUUGUGUCAAUAAUAAAGAAACAAAAAAAAAAUUGUAUAAAAUACAGAUGUUGUAGUGUAACUUGGAUUCUUUUUCUUUAUAAUUGCACCUAUCAUGUGAUUAUCAAAAAAAAAAAAGAACUCCUGAGAUUUUAAAAUUUUGUAAUUGCACUAUUUUUGGAUUAUCAGAAGACUUCCUCUCCUUAAAGAUGCUCUUAAUCCAUAAAUGGUGCAAAACAUAAUUCAUGAAAUGAAUUUAUUAUUUUAGAUAAGUUUCAAGUAUGCAUACCUUUUAUAGCUCCAUAUUGCAUAACUCCUCAUUUCAAUCAAUGGAUGCAUUUGUUUACUUUUUCUUUCUUGUAAAUUUUUUAAUGGCCGUAAUUCUAUAAAUAAUUAAUUAAGUGUUAUUGUUAUCAUUAUUUUGUAGAUGCAUAUGUGGGGUGGGGACGUUGGGGGGCAUGGAUCUCAAUAUAGCAGAGGGCCUGAAUAUUUAUUCUUUAAGAGGAACCACAACCAACAACAAUGCUUUAAGUUCCAUUCCAUUUUACUUCUGUGCACCAGAUUGCAUAAACAACAUUGAUUAUCCAAGGUCAAAGUCUCUCAAAUACUCUAGUUACAAGACAAAGCAUGGGUUAGUAGUGGCCAAAAUUUUCUUGCAACGAAAGGCUCGUAAACUGAUGACAGCUGCUGGAUUGUUUUGGGCCUUAAUGGUUUUAAUAUUAUUCUCUUAAAAACAUAUAUGUUGAUUAGAGACGAGAGGAAGAAGAUGAUAUGAUUCAGCCAGUUGCAGAAGAAAGAGCACGCAGUGGAGUUCAGAUUUUGAAUUCUCUUGUCAAAUUGUUUUUAAUUUACUACAAGGUAGAAUAUGUUGCAUUGUUAAAAAAUACUUUGAACAUCCUAUUUUUGUAUUACAAAUAUACCAAAAAUUAAAUUAAUUUUUUUCUUUAUUAGUAUAAACUAAAUUUUGCAUGAAUCCUCAUCCUUAUAAGUGGAAUUCUAUUGUGAAAUUAAUAGUCCUUCCUAGUUGAACUAACUAUCACUUUGAACAUGUGUCAUCUCUAACAACAGCUCCCAAACCUGCAGCUACCUGCUUCUUAGCAUUAGAAGCAGUAUCUGCAUUGGCUUUCAACCAGCCAUAAUUAGGAGGAGGGCACCAUUGUUUCUGUUUGUCAAUUUCCUUUCUUGAACCAUAAGCCAUAAUUAGGAGGAGGGCAAACUUCCAAAUAACAUUCCAAAUGGUAUUGUGAAAAAUUUUCACCCUUUUGGUAAUAAAAAAGAACCUUAUUUCUAGUUCUCUAUUAACAAUCUUACCACUAAGUUCUCUCUUGAGUAGAAACAUCAUAUAUAUUAAUUUAUUGUUAAUAUAAACAAAACUAAAUAUUUAUAACUUAAAAGAUAGGUGUUGAAUAGAGGCAGUCUCACAGAAAAAAAAAAAAAAGUAUUUGAAAGCAGUGGUGAUAUCAUAUUUUUUGUAAUGAUACGAGAGUAUCACACUAGAUUUUUUUUCUGCAUUACAAAAAGUUUGUAUUCAAGAAUAAAUAAGCAAUAUCAGGAACAAAUUUUACAAAAAGCCUCCAGGACAUGUCAUAUUAAUUUUGUGAUAUAUUAGUCACUAGAUCUUCUUUCCACAUUACAAAAAAUUAGAAAUGCAAUCUAAAUCGAUAUCAAUUACUAAUUUUAUAUUGAAUGGGUCCUACAUGAAAAUAAGGAGUAUUUUUAUAAUUUAAGAAAUUAUUAGCCAUUUACCCUAAGUUUACUUUGUGUCAAAAAAUACUACGAAAACUUUAACUUAUUUAGUUUUUUACCUGAAUUUAUAAUUUAUAUCAAUCACUCACUAAAAAGAUAGAAUUACCUCAUAAAAUGACAAAAUAAAAACAAACACAAAUGACAAUACCAGUAAUUUUAUAAGGAUAAUCCAAUCCUUUUGGCACCAAAUUACAUAUUAAAUUAUUUUAAAUAUUAUAAAUUAUUUUUAAAUUGAGUGAGAAACCCUGGUCAUUUUAAUACUCAUGGCCAUUUAAUCUAACAAAACAUGAUAUUUCGAGUAGACUUAUGUUUGCGUAAUGAAUAAUAGAUUUCAAUGAUGAGAACUAGACUUAUUUUUUAUUUAGGCAAAUAAUACAUGCACCGCUUACUUGGCAAUAUAUUUAAUUUUUCAAAUUUCUUUAUUUAGUCAACAAAUUUGAAAUUAAGUCUUCUCGAAUAUUAAGAAAUGUUGAUGAUUUUUAUAUUUUUGUUAUGUAAGUUGGAGUUUGUUAUUCAUUUUGUUAAUUAUUUAUUUUCUUAAUAUUCUUAUGAUUCACUUCCUUUAGGGGCUGAGUUUUGGAUUCAUCAUGAUUGUAUCGGGGUCCGGGUUUCACACGCUCGUUUUGUUAUGCCUUAGUCUUUGUUUUGUUUUUUUUUUAAGGGAAGCAAUUUCAUUAAACCAAAAACGAAUUACAGACUAUGUAAUAACCACAAAGGUGGAACGAAAUUCCACUCUUGGGGACCUGACAUAGAACCUACUGCCCUUGCAACAGAAUGAGCAGCCAGGUUCGCAGACCGACGUACAAACGAGAAUUGUACUUCUCCUAAAGACUUAGCUAAAGCUCGACAUUCAUCAACUAUUAAACCAAAACCGUUAGGCCCUGAAAACUCCUCAACUAGAGCUUGAAAUACUUGUAAACAAUCAGUUUCAACAAUGACACAAGGAAAUUGUAAGCCUUUAAGCCAACUAAGGGCCUCCCGAAUACCAAGAGCUUCAGCCUCCCUUGCUCCAAAAUUCCCAGCCAUUCCAGCACAUCUUGCUGUUAAGAAAACACCCUCUGAAUUUCGAAGCACACACCCAAAACCAAUCUUUCCUUGAGAUGAAAAGAUAGCAGCGUCAACAUUACAUUUGACCCAACCAAACUUUGGCCUCUCCCAACAUGUUGCCCCAUGGACCAGCUUAUGGACAUCAGUAUCAGCAUAGAAUUGUUGCUUCUUUGCUGCUUGCCACUGAUAGAGAAGUUGCCCAGCAGAAUUGAGCACUUGAUUCACUGAACCAGUUUUGUUAUUCCAUACUUUGUCAUUACGAUUAAUCCAAACUCUCCAGCAGAUCAUCAUGGCAACAUGGCAUUCUUCUUUGCUGCAGCGUGUAAAGAUGUGAUCAAGCCACUCUAAGAAAGAAUAACAAUGGCCAAUAAAACCCAUAGAGGAAGAAAUCCAGCAAGCCUUAGCAACAUUACACUCAACCAACGAAUGGAGAACCGUUUCAUCAAAAGCAAGACACACAGCACAAGUAGGGGGGAUAUUCACCCGCUUAGAAAUUAAAUUAACUGCAGUAGGCAACACAUUAGUUGCCGCUCGCCAAACAAAAUUCUUAACCUUAUUCGGCACAUUCAAGUUCCAUAGUUUUCGCCACACAUCUGUGAAAGGGCCAGGGGUAAGAGAAUGUAAAACCUUAUAACAGCUACGGACUGAAUAGCAUCCGCGAGAAUCAGCCAACCAAUACCACACAUCAUCAUUUCGGCGGGAACUAAGGGGAAUUUGAAGUAUCAACUCCUUGUCUCUUGCGUUGAAAAGAUCCGAAACAAGAUCAUAAUCCCAAGCUCGUUGAUUAGGCACCAGUAAACUACUAACAGGAGCUGCAGCAAGCUCUACAUGGAGAUUAGAAGAAACAAAUCCAUUAUUAGUAUCAGGAAGCCACGGAUCCUUACCAAUGAAGAUCGAAUUCCCACAGCCAACUUGCAGUCUACUCCCUUGAAUUACCACAUCCUUUACAGCCAAAAUAAAGCGUCAUACAUAGCUAGGAUUAUGCCCCACAGAAGCUUGAAGAACAGAGGUGCGCGGAUGGUAGCGAGCUUUAAUUAUCUUGGCCACAAGAGAUUCCGGACAAGUUAACAGCUUCCACAUUUUCUUUCCUAACAUCGCUAGAUUGAAUAAAUGAAGUUGUUUAAAACCAAGGCCCCCAUAUCCUUUUGGUUUGCACAGAUUUUCCCAAUUGGACCAGUUUAUUCCUUUCCCUCCACUUUGAUUACUACGCCACCAGAAUGAGUUCAUCAGUCCUUCUAGUUCUCUACACAAAUCCUUUGGCAGUAAAUAUAUACCCAUAGCAUAAUUAGGCAUCGCAAGGGCUACCGUUUUUAACAAAAUCUCCUUCCCAGCCCGAGAAAGCAUCCGCGUACUCCAUCCCUGCAGGCGUUGCCAGAGCUUGUCCCUAAUAUACCUGAACACCUCUUUCUUGUUUCUGCCAAUAUAUGAUGGAAGACCAAGGUAGGCUCCAUGAUUAGAGGUCAUGGUAACCGCUAGAAUAUCACAAACCUGCUGAGUAACAGAUGCAAUCACAUUAGUGCUAAAAGAAAUUGAAGACUUGUUGAAAUUAACCUCUUGGCCAGAAGCUCGACCAUAAACCUCCAGCAGCUGCUUGAUUAAAGAAGCUUCAUUGUUAUUUGCCCUGAAAAAAAGGAAGCUAUCAUCGGCAAAAAACAAAUGCGAGACCGAUGGUGCCCCUCUCGCGAUCCGUACACCAUGAAGUAAGCCAUUCCUUUCUUGUCUUCGAAUUAAAGAACUGAGCCCUUCCGCGCAAAGAAUAAAUAGAUACGGAGAUAAUGGAUCUCCCUGUCGAAGGCCUCUACUCGGAACAAUCGGCCCAACUUCCUUUCCCUCCCGUAGCACAUGAUAUCUGACAGUAGAUACACAGAGCAUAAUUAACUCCACCCACUUGGCAUCAAACCCCAUCUUAAGCAUCAUUGCUUGAAGAAAAUUCCACUCAAUCCUGUAAUAUGCCUUAGACAUAUCAAUUUUCAGAGCAGCUACCCCAUUUUUACCUUGUCUCUUCCGCUUCAAGAAAUGCAUAAUUUCAGCCGAAAUGAUUAUGUUAUCCGUGAUAGCUCGACCCGGGAUAAAAGCGCUUUGAGAGUCUGAAAUAACCACAUCAAGAACUGAUUUCAUGCGGUUAGCUAGCAUUUUGGAUAUUAUCUUAUACAACACAUUGCAUAACGCAAUUGGUCUCGUAUCUGAUAAUAAUUCAGGUUUGUGUUUCUUCGGUAUUAGCACAAUUGAAGUGUCAUUCAAGCCCACUGGGAAAGAGCAAUCAUGAAUAAAUUUUAAACAAGCCAAAAUCACAUCCUUACCCACAAUAUGCCAGAACUUUUGGUAGAAAGCAGGGUUCAUCCCGUCGGGUCCUGGAGACUUGUCCGGAUGCAUUUCAAAGAGUGCUUCUUUAACCUCAAUGUCAGUAAAAGAAGCUAAAAGCAUUGCAUUAUGCUCGUUUGUAAUUCUUGUAUCCACACACUGGGUAACUUCAGCAGUAUGACACCCUCCGGAGGUGAAAAGGCUCUGGAAAUAGUCCACAAUCAAAGUAUCCACCUCCUCUGGGUUGGAACACCAGUCUCCUUGAUUAUUACGAAGAGACUCGAAGGAAUUCUGCCUUCUCCUGGCAGAGGUCGAGGCAUGGAAAUAGUGAGUGUUCUUGUCACAUUCCUUUAACCACAAAGACUUUGCUCUCUGUUUCCAAAAAACCUUAUGACUAUGCAAAAGCUCAUUAUAACGCUGUCUCGCUUCUGAAAAAGCAACCACACCCUCACUAUCUCGCCUACCUCGAAAAACAGCCAUACACUUCUUGCAUUCCCGAAUUCGCUGUCGAAAAUCUCAAGCAAAAUGCCCUCCCCACUCCAUAAGAGCAGACCCACACAGCAUAAUUCUAUGUUGAAUAGAAGCACCAGUAUAGGAGCUCCAGCUAUCCCGAAUAACAUCACUACAGUCAGCCUCACGCAACCAAGUAUUCUCAAAACGAAAAUGGUUAUGCCUUAAAAUAGGCUGGGUCGGGCUAGGAUCCAACAAGAUAGGAAGAUGAUCAGAGCAAGAGGAGUCUAAGCUAUAGACUUUCACCUUGUUGAAUCGCUGAAUCCAUUCCUCAGAUGCAAAAGCUCGAUCAAGCCUUUCUUCAACCCAUUUAUCAGUGCCCCUAGCUCUCUCCCAUGUAAACUGAUACCCAUCGAUGCCAAGAUCAACUAAAUUGCAAUCGGUAAUAGCUCGCUGAAAACCCACCAGCUUCCAAUUUGGGUGCGCAAUACUACCUCUCUUCUCAUUUGCCGCCAGUAAAUCAUUAAAAUCACCUAUACACACCCAUGGGAGUGAAGAGGAAGAAGCAAGCAAACGGAGCAAGUCCCACGAUUUGCGGCGCCGGCUAGACUCAGGAUAGCCGUAAUAACCAGUUAAUCUCCAUUUUCCUAAAACGGGCACUUCAACUUCAGUAUCUAUAAAAUUGGUGGCAAACUGCAGCAGAUUAACAUUACUAGUAGCUUUCCAAAGAAGCGCGAGCCCACCACUCCGGCCAACUCUAUCAACAACAAACAGCCCAUCAUAGCCCAAUUGAAUUUUGAUCAUCUCUAACUUAUCUCUACUGCAUAGCGUUUCAAUAAGAAAAAUGAACGUAGGCUUCUUGUUACGGACCACCUCUGCCAACAUACGAACUGUCCGUGGCUGGCCCAACCCACGGCAGUUCCAACUUAAAGUACUCAUUGCUCUCGGUGGGCCUGAAGUACAGGUCCCACCGCUAGCCCGUUUUUUGGAUCUACCACCAUAGAACUCACAUCCACCUCUGUUUGUACUAUACCCUCCAGCCCCAUAUCCGCUCUUCUUCUUUUAGCUUCCUUUAACACUAACUCUUUCUCCCCAUACCUUACAGCUACUUGAGUAAGGUCCAGCCCAUUUGCAAAUGAAACCACGUCUUUGCCCUUACCAAGCCGUUGACUGCUAGUGGCCUGGACAACUGGCAAUGCUUGUAAGCUCAUUAUAUUAUCCAUAGAAUCCCGCCCAUCACUCCCUAUAUGGUUGGCAAAUUUCGUAUUGUUGGAAAUUCCUGAUUUGGAGGCAUUCAUCUCAUUAACCACGGUACCACUUAAGGAAGUUUUAAAAUUUCCUGAAUUAGCCAUACAUUCUUCUGACAGUUCCGAACGUAACCACCUUUCACCGGAGGACAUGGCAUUCCGACGAGUUGGAGCCUUCAUCUCUGGCCCAUAUGACCUUGUAAUAUCAGCAGCAUCACAAUCAUACAACUUCGGACAAAGUUUUUCUGAGUGCCCAAGGAGUCCACAAAUGAAGCAGAAAGUAUUUAAUCGUUCAUACUUGAAAUCAACCCAGAACCAAUCUCCUCCCUCCUUCUUUAGUCGCAAUCUUCGCUUCAGGGGUUUCCGGACAUCAAUGGAUACCCUUAUGCGCAUAUAGUUUCUCCACACUCCCAUGAGAUUAUUAGGAUCUGAAGAUUGAAACUCACCAAUAUUGUUACCAAUAUUUAUCAAUACUUUCUCUGACAGAAACCCAAUGGGUAAGUUGUACACCUGGAUCCAAAACGAAGUAUGGAAUAAAGAAACCAUAUUCGGUUGUUCAUUCUCCCCCAAUCUCUUUAAAAUUAGAAUAUGUUGGUCGAAGGUCCACGGUCCCGAAUCAAUCACACGCUUGAGGUCAACUUCGUGAAAGAAUUGGAACAAGAAAAGAGAAGGUGAUAAAUCUUUGAUGCACACUCCCUUCCCUGGACGCCAUAAUGCCGCCAUAGUAUUUUUCAUGGCCGGAAAAUUGAUCACCUUAUCAGUUAAAAACCUCCCCACCAAGCAGAAUCUAAAAUCAGUCAACCCUGCAUUUCCAGUGGCAAUAUCCUCACUAUGAAAAACAAGACCAUCGUCAUCUUCCUCCCCAAUAGAAACCUUUUCAUAUGCAGCAUUCAUCUCAUGCUCCCCAAAAUUUCUACUGGUUGUCAUAGUACUCGUAAUAAGCAGGAAAUAUGGCUAUCUAGCCGGAAAUAUCCUAGAGCAAACUUGUCAGAAGGACAAGACAAACAAAGCUUGCCAAAGAGACAAGAGUAGCCUAAAAUUACGAAUUGUGUUUGAGUAGGAGGAUAAUGUAAGAAAACUUGGCACUUUUAUUCAACUGAAGAAAUUUUACAAUUUAAAUUAGAAACGAUAAAAUUUAAUAAUUAACUAUUAUUUGAACUAAUUGAAUCGUGCGCCAUCAUUUGUGUAAUGUAUCCUAUUUGCAAAAUAAACGGCAGGAUGCGGUUUGCGGACAGAUUAUGGAAAGAAAAAGGCAUAUAUUUCUCUCCUAUUUUGGUAAUUCUAUAUUUCUAUUCUUCUUCUUUUUCAACCCCAAAUAAUCAAAAGCUCUCCAAUGGCUUUCGUAUCCACAAGGACCACAACUCGUCCAUUUCAUUUUACUUCAAUUUUAGUAUCAGCUCUUAGAUGUAAUUUCUCAUCUUCGUUCCCUCAUACCGGAAAACCCACAUCUUCAAUUUCGGAAAAUGAACCCUCGUAUCCGACCACAACAGCUAAACUGAAGGAGUCGCUACGACUGACGGUCAAAGACUGAGCCUCACUCGAAAAAUUCCUCAAAGAAAGGUGCAAAUCAUCAGGUCAAGGUGAUAUUAAUCUUAUUACUCCUAAUGAAGCCUUGUGUAUCUUUGAUUACAUGCUCCGUAUGCACCCUUCUCCGCCUCCUGUCUCUUCCUUCAAUAUUUUGUUUGGUUGUCUUGCUAAGAAUAAACAUUAUGAUACUGUCCUUUCACUCUUCAAGCGACUCAAUUCAACUGGGUUGUUUCCAGAUCUUUAUACUUACAAUAUCUUGAUUAACUGCUUUUGCAAAAUGGGUCGAGUUUCUCAUGGUUUUGUUGUUCUUGGGAGAAUCCUCAGGUCUUGUUUUACUCCAGAUGCUGUGACCUUUACUUCUUUGAUUAAAGGUUUGUGUGCGGAGAGUAGAAUCAUGGAGGCCGCCACAUUGUUUAUGAAACUUAAAGCGUUUGGUUGUGAGCCUAAUGUCAUUACAUACACCACUUUGAUUAAUGGAUUGUGUCGAACAGGCCAUACAAUUGUUGCUCUAAAUUUAUUUGAAGAGAUGGCUAAUGGAAAUGGGGAAUUUGCUGUUGUUUGUAAGCCAGACACUGCUACAUACAGUACUAUUAUCGAUGGUCUUUGUAAGGAAGGUUUUGUGGACAAGGCCAAGGAACUGUUUCUGCAGAUGAAGGAUAACAAUAUUAACCCUAACAUGGUUACCUAUACCUCUGUGAUUCGUGGUUUUUGUUAUGCUAAUGAUUGGAAUGAGACCAAGUGUUUGCUAAUUGAGAUGAUGGACCAAGGGGUACAGCCUAAUGUUGUGACUUUCAAUGUCAUCAUGAAUGAGCUCUGCAAGAAUGGAAAGAUGGAUGAGGCAAGUCGGUUGUUGGACCUGAUGAUUCAGUUUGGUGUGCGUCCAAAUGCUUUUGUCUAUAACACAUUAAUGGACGGGUUUUGCUUGACAGGUAGAGUUAAUCGUGCGAAGGAACUAUUUGUUUCUAUGGAGAGUAUGGGUUGCAAACAUACUGUUUUUAGUUACAGUAUUUUGAUAAAUGGUUACUGCAAGAAUAAGGAAAUAGAGGGAGCGUUAACCCUUUAUAGCGAAAUGCUCUCUAAAGGAAUUAAGCCAACAGUUGUUACAUAUAGCACCUUGUUUCUUGGACUUUUUGAAAUACACCAGGUUCAGCAUGCUUUAAAACUGUUUGAUGAGAUGCAGCGUAAUCAUGUGGCAGCUAAUACAUAUAUAUACACUACCUUUAUUGACGGGCUCUGCAAGAAUGGUUUGGAACUGUUUCUGAAGAUGAAGGAUGAGAAUAUUAACCCCAAUGUGGUUACUUAUACCUCUUUGAUUCACGGUUUUUGUUACGCUAAUGAUUGGAAUGAGGCGAAGUGUUUGUUUAUUGAGAUGAUGGACCAAGGGGUACAACCUAAUGUUGUGACUUUCAAUGUGAUCAUGGAUGAGCUCUGCAAGAAUGGAAAGAUGGAUAAAGCAAGUCGGUUGCUGGACCUGAUGAUUCAGAUUGGUGUGCGUCCAGAUGCUUCUGUCUAUAACACAUUAAUGGAUGGGUUUUGCUUGACGGUUAGAGUUAACCGUGCGAAGGAACUAUUUGUUUUUAUGGAGAGUAUGGGUUGCAAACAUAAUGUUUUUAGUUACAGUAUUUUGAUAAAUGGUUACUGCAAGAAUAAGGAAAUAGAGGAAGCGUUAAGCCUUUAUAGCGAAAUGCUCUCUAAAGGAAUUAAGCCAACAGUUGUUACAUAUAGCACCUUGUUUCUUGGACUUUUUGAAAUACACCAGGUUCAGCAUGCUUUAAAACUGUUUGAUGAGAUGCAGCGUAAUCAUGUGGCAGCUAAUACAUAUAUAUACACUACCUUUAUUGACGGGCUCUGCAAGAAUGGUUUUGUUCUAGAGGCACUGGAAUUAUUCCGUGCUAUAAGAAAUAGCAAGUAUGAGCUUAAUAUCGUAUCCUACAACUGCCUCAUUGAUGGAUUGUGUAAAAUAGGCAAACUGGAAACUGCUUGGGAACUGUUUCAAAGUUUGCCUCGUGUAGGCCUAAUGGCAGAUGUUGUAACAUACAACAUCAUGAUCCAUGGGCUUUGUAAUGAUGGGCAAAUGGACAAGGCACAUGAUUUGUUUCUUGAUAUGGAAGCAAAAGGUGUGGAACCCGAUUGUGUCAUAUUUAAUACGAUUAUGCUGGGUUUCAUCCGCAAUAAUGAGACAUCAAAAGUUAUUGAACUCCUUCACAGAAUGGAUAAGAGAAAUGUAAUGCCAGACGCAUCUAUACUUUCAAUUGUUGUGGACUUGCUUGUAAAGAAUGAAAUUAGCUUAAACUCGAUUCCACAAUUCAAGAGUCAAAGGUAAGUGAGUUUAAUACUGAUUUAGCCACAUGUUUCUUCUGCCUGAAAACCCAACCUGGAGGAUCCCAUUCUUAUUACAACAUGUAAAGGAGUGUUGUCUAAUGUAGGCAUGUUCCUAGGUUCUGUCCAUGGAUUCUGUUUGCAGACAUGGCUAACUUCUUGUUCAACAGAAAGUUUUAAAGUCUUUCAACUUUAUGUUGUAAAAUAACUUUUUUAUUAUUCAAUUCAUGAGUUUUUCUUCUAUAACACAUCCUUCUCAUUAGCUGGAAGUGCAAAUUUUUUAGGCUUUUCCUGUAUGGCCUCUUUCUCUGCUCUAAAUAAAAUGGCAUUUUAUUUCCCUCUUGUGAGGGUACAAGGUUUAUGUUUAAACUUUCUGUUAGUUAAAUUGGUUGUCUUUGAUAUAGGGAACUUCCAGUUGAACUGAUUUGUAAUUCGACUAUAUGAGAUUACCAACUGUAUUGGGAAUUGAUGCCAAAUUAAUAAUGUCAUCAGGUUUUUCAAUCAGUGUUCAUCAUUUAUUUCUGUUAACAAUUAAUAGCACAGUUUGUCUUCUCAGCUUCAUUGGUUCCUCUCAAAAAUGAUCUUGUAAAGACAAUCUUUCUUGGGCAUGGAAAAUGCUAGAUUGUUUGUGGUCUGAAUGAUACUACACAUCUAAGUAAUUGCCCAAAUUUUUUGUUCCUUGUUACACGGCAUUCAAUUGAAUGAGGACUCAUGUUUGUGUGUAUUGGUAUUUGUUAUACUAUGUAUUGGCAAGACAAAGUUUCUUGAAACUGACAAACUUUUCUCUAUGAAGAUUGAAGACAAUAUGAUAAGAUAAAAUUUAUCAAAAGCCUAUAUAUGCUUGCCAGGGCUGGACCUUUGAUUAUUAGUCCUCGCCUUUCGUUCUUGUUUCAUAUUCUUCUGCUAACAAAUCUUGAUCAUGAAUCUCAUCACAUUUGGUACGCGUAUCCAUGGUUUUAUCCGAACCAAUGAGCCAUCAAAAGUUAUUGACCUUCUUCACAAGAUGAGGGAGAAAAAAGUAAUGCCAGAUGCAUCUAUAGUUUCAAUCGUCGUGGACUUGUAAAGAAUGAAAUUAGUCUGAACUCACUUCCGUCAUUUCCUGUUCAAGAGCAACAGGGGGAGGUUGAUGAGUCAAAUGUCAAGUUGUAGCAGCAUGUGCUUUCAGCCUAAAAUCCUGAUCUGCAGCAUCUCAAUCAUGUUACAAAGUGACACGUCGCCUAGUGACAGCAAGUUCUCUACGGUGCUGUUAAUGGAUCCUGAUUGUUCUUGUGAUCUGGAGAGUCUCAUUCAUAUUACAGAUCCUGAUCAGGACGAGCUAGCUUAUGUGAUCACCAACUCUACAUUGUUGUUGAUGCCAAAUUAAAUAUGGUAUCAUGUUUUUCAACUUGUUACUUACUACAGUCCUUCCAUUGAAUGGCCACAAGAAACUGUAAAAUCACCCUUUGUCUUGUUCCCUCUUAAUGAUCCAUCACUUUGGGAGCUAAUGAAUUAGUUGCACCUUGUCACUUUAUUGGUACUUGAUUGUCAUUUGUGCUUUGAAUUCACAGCAUAUUUUAUCCUUGCUGUACUCUUUGCAUAAUCACCUUUGA
This 69939-nucleotide long non-coding RNA is filed under the name Citrus sinensis (sweet orange). RNAcentral's name for it is "long non-coding RNA (CSIN_LNC005117)". The record is from RNAcentral. Lineage: Eukaryota; Viridiplantae; Streptophyta; Magnoliopsida; Sapindales; Rutaceae.